UGCUUUCCUCACCCAUAUCCCCUUCUUCAUCCGAUCUUGCUCCACCUAUUAUCUCCUCCAUUUUCUCACAUCCUUUAACAACAAUCUCUUCUAGGUUUACAAGGCUUGGCAGCAAGACAUGAGGGAACAACUUCUUCAUACCCUUACACCCAAAAAAAUAAAACCUUUUAAGACCAGAAAAUAUACCAUUAUAAGAUGGAGAUGGCUGUGGUAGUGGAGCAGAGCAUAACCAAGAAGAUGAAACCAAGCUCUCCAUGCUAUUGCAAUUCAAAAUCUUGAUAUACUCCAGUUCUGUUGCAUACUUUAAUGGCGAAACAUCGCCUAAACUUCUUGCAUCGAUACAUUACAAAUUAGUUGCUGAAUGUCAUUUGAGGUGAUGACCGGAAAAUCUCCAUCUCUAUUGAUAUUCAAAUUACCCAAAACAACCAUUUUACUUUCGGGACCAUUGAACUUUAAUUUCCUAAGUUCGUCUUCCCUGAACUGCCCUAUAGCAAUUUUGCAUGUGCUUAGUGAUUGGCUCCGAUCCCGAGAUUUGAGAUACUCCACGUAGUUAGAGUGAUCUUCAAAAUGGCAUUCCAAACUUUCCAACUUCCUCAAGCAUCCUACUUCCUUUCCAUCAACUGUUACUGGAGCAUAUCUUUCUUCUAGUAUAAAGACUUGCAGGCGAGAGAGUUUAGGUAAUAUGCCACCGGGAAACUUCUUUUCACCACAUCCAUUCAUUCUUAGAUACCUCAAGUUGGAUAGACAUUCCAUGCCAUGUGGAAUCUUUUCAAGUGGAGCAUGAGAGAGAUCUAACCUCUUCAGUGCCUUGAGCUUUUUCAAUGAGGGUACACGGCUUAACCUUGACAACCUUUGAGCAACAAUGAAGUGAGACCCUCCAAAUCAGAGACAGAAUCAGGCAAACAUUCAAUAGAUGUUCUAGACAGAUCGAGGACCUUGAGCCCACGCAUUUGCUUGAAAAAUGAACCCGCAAUGAGUCGCAACCUAUCAUUAUCACAUAGCAAUAAGGUUGACAGAUUUGGACACGUCACUGAAUGGCUGGAACAAAUCUCUUGAAUUUGGUUGUGCAUUAGUGAAACGGUCGUAAGUUUCUCUGUCCACUCCUCUGUAUCCGGCAAUUCUUUUAAUUGUGCACCGGCUUUAACAAUGGCUUGAGAGUCCUCUUCCAGUAUUUGGAUGGCCAUAUCCCUAAUCAAGUCAUGCAUCUUGACACAAUAACCACUAGAGGCACUUUCCAAUAGGCAGACAUUUUCAAGUCUAUUAAGCAUUGUGUGGCCUUUGUUAAUUUCUGCCUCCCUACUCUUUUGCCCUUUUACCACUCCCCGAUCAAUCAAAUAUUCUAUCAGAUUCUCUCUAAAGAUCACAAAGUCUUCAGGAAAUAAUCCACAGCACAAGAAACAUUGUUGCAGAGCUGAACUUAGGUGGGUGUAACUAAAUUUCAAUAUCUGAAAUACCUCCCUUUCCACUUUAUCUUGCGUAACUCUUGAUUGUCUGAGGUCCUCUAAAGCACUGCUCCAUUCGUGGAUGUCAUCUACCCCCUUCAUGGUUCCAGCAAUUGUUUUAAUUCCUAGUGGCAAACCAUCACACUCCCUUGUGAUAGAUUUUGCAAUUUGUUCCACUUCUGAAGGAAGUCGUGUGUCAUGUCCAAGUAUCUCCAUGAACAAAGUCCAAGCCUCUCCAUCAGAAAGAGGAUUCACUCUGACAUUGUUUUGGCAAUUCAUCUGUCGACAAACCUCUAUUGAUCGAGUUGUCAUAAUCAGCUUGCAUCCUUUCAAUGUGACGGGAAUCCCCACUUUGUGUGGUUCAAAGGAGUCCCACAAAUCAUCUAAAAUGAGAAUCCAUCUUUGUUUCUCCAUUAGUUCUUGUGACAAUUUCGUAGCUAUGUGCAGCUCCUCCUCUUUAUUGGAAAGAGAUAAAUUUAUAUUGUUUGCGAUCUUCUUCUGCAAUGUAUCAAUGCUGCAAUCUCGAGACACGGUCACCCAGUAAACAUUAUGAGAAAUAUCUGGACUUCGUAGAAGCUCGUUAUAGAUAUGCUUCAGGAUUGUAGUUUUACCAGCUCCCCCCAUCCCGUAAAUGCUAAUGAUUGAGACUUCAUCAUCCAUCAACCAAGACCAUAUCACAUUCUUAUUCUCUUCAAAUGCUCGACCCACUAGCUUUGUAGAGCCAGUAGGUAAAGGAGCUCCUCUAGUCUCACUUGGGUUGUGUUUAAGCCCUGCGGAAGAGCUAGCUCCUGCACCUGGCUGCGCUACUCCUCCAGUCCCAGUCUCUGUAUCAUCAAGAUUUAACAAAUUAAGCAUCUCCUCCCAUGUUUUUUCCAAACAUAUCUGGUUCUUGUAUACUUGUUGCAUCUCCUGUCAAAUUGUCGACUUCAUUGUUUUGCUCUUGUGGACUGGAUGAAAUGGCAUUAUGAUUCACAUUGCCUCCAGAAGAGCUUGCGCCUACGCUAGGCUGCACUAAUCUUUCUGUUGCUUCUCUUCUGUUAUCAUUUUCACCAAUUGUGUGUCUCCAAGGAGAGACACUUCUGUUAACAUGCUGAAUCGAUCCUUCACCAGUGUUUUCUCGUUGUUGUGCCAUCACCAUUUCAUUGUUCUGUUGUUGUGCUGAAGCUGAAAUUGCAUUAGUGACCUCGUUAUUGCUUGAGCCUGCUACAGUUUUACGCUUCUUUUCUGGAGGGCCUGCUACAAUUGCUGCAAGGGCUGCGUCUUGGACAUGUUGAGGCACUUGUCCACAACUUCUAACACCACGGCCUGUAACUCCUGCUAAAUGGAAUCUGAUCCUCGUAAUGGGAGUGCCUUUGGCAAAAAAAUGCCCACAAAACUUACACCUCAUGCUACGAUCAUCCAUUUUUUCAACAUAUUCCCAAAAAGAUGUGUCAACACGAUGCAAAACUGGACCAUCCCGUCGAAGCAUUUUGAUCAGUGGCUCUGUAGAAAAGAAAAGAAAAGGAUCUGUCAACAUGAUGCCAAAAUGGAUCGAUCAGGGUCAAAAUAUUGAAUAUAAAUUAAUGGAGGUUACAUUAAUUGUAAAAGGGAAGGUUGAAACUGAAAUAACAAGUUAAAAACAGUAGAGAAAUUACAAAGAAAAAACAAUGAAUUUAAGGAUUAUAGAAACUGAGAAAGACAAAUUUAAUUUGUUUUGGGAACUAUAGAAUAUGAUCCUAACUCCAAAGUUUCUCAAUAAAAUUUCUUCAACUUGUUUUGGCACUUAAAAGAUCGAAAAAAUAUUAACAUGUGAAGAACAAAGAAUAAUAUACCUGGAUUCAGCAAUUGAUCGAUGUUCUUCAAGUGCUGGCUUGCUGAGGCAGUAUUCAGAAGAAGAAGAAGAAGAAGAAGAAGCACAGAUCAGAGAAGAGUAUAGGUUAAGCUAGUUCAAUGAUGAGGAAAGGAGAAUAGUUGUAUUGUUUGACAAGAAAGAAGUUGCUAGGAAGGUAGGAAGGAAGACAGCAACAACUUUACUGAUAGUUCAUAGUUCCUUUUAAUUUAAUUUAAUUAAUUAAUUAAUUAAUUAAUUUCGAUUAGUGCUGCAUAUAAUAAAAAACUUCAACAAAAGAAGCCAAUUAUUGGACUUGGGUUAGGUGAGUUAACGUGUGGACCCACCCCAGUGUUCAAGCUUUGAAAAAGCUCAUUAGUACACUGUAACUUGUUUUUAGUCUGUCACUAACAGCUCACCUGUGCAAAUCCCUUGUGAUCCCUCCAGCACCUAUGAGCAAUUUUCUUAUGAAAUUUGGGUUGGUUUAUGAGCAAAGUUCAUCAGAGAGAGCUUAAUUCCUGGAGAAUAUGAAUGUCGAUUGAGGGUUAAAGCAAUAAUAAUAAAAAAAAAGAGUAUAUAUUCUCCAUGCAUGCAUGCAUGUUGUUCUGAGACUAGACAAUGGAAUGAAUCUCUGUCAGGUCUAGAAGACAGGGUUAAUUUCUAGUAAUGUUGUUUGCCCAUGAUUGGAAGUUGCUUACGAUCCCUUUAAUAAUGAGAUAUUGUUGUCAAUGGCUCAAGCAAUAUUUUCCCACACAUAAUUGCAGAUCCAAACACUCUUUAAUAAGUUUUAAAAAAUUAAAAGUUAAAUCAAAGGAAUUGGGCACCCAAACUCAAUUAAUUAAUAACAAAUGUUAUUUUCAAUUUUGCAACUAUAUAUAUAUGCACAUAAAGUAUGUAAAAUUCCAAAACCUUGCUGGCUACAUUAUCUAUCUCCUCUCACCUUCCUAUUGUUGUUGAGUAUAAUUAUAAAAUUUAAAUUAGUCUGUGAGUUAAUUUGAGAUCUAAGUAAAACCAGAUUUAAAUUAAUCUUGCCUAAAAAAAACAAAUUAAUCCAGUUUAAUCCAAUUAAAAAUAAAAAUUAUAAUAUUAAGUUAUUAACAAAUUAUUUAUACUUCCAUUUUAUAAAUAAUAUUUUAAUUUUUAUAAAAAAUUAUUAUCGUCAAGUAUGAAUUAAACAAUCAUAUCUCCAUUUAAAUCGUCAAUAAUUUAGUUCUUUCAUCAAUUCUAUAUGUUUUCUUUAUUUUUUUCUUGAGAAAUUAGAAAAAGAAAAAAAAAUAGAAGAAUUGAAAAUUUGAUAAGAUUUUGAGAAAGAAUAAUGAUAUUAAAUUGAAGAUGGUCACCAUUGGUCAUUGGCCAAUCAUUGCUUUAAAAUUUCUUAAAUGAUAAGGACUAAUUAGUUAUUUAUUAUACUAUAAGAUUAAUUAAUAAUGUGUACAAACUAUAAGGACUAUAAUAUAAUUGCUUUAAGCCUCAAACUUUGGGUGCUUUAUUUAUGGUGUCUCAAAUUCGUUACUGCGAUCAAUACUUUACGCUUUAGGGAGUUUCCUCCACUAACCCGACUGAAUCACAACUCAACACUCUGAGUCGCAACCGAUUCCGAUCUCCUCUCAGGCACCGCUCUCCCAGCCCAAUUACCACCAUGCCUUGAGCUUUCUGGUUCUAAUUGGAGUUUUUUGGACUGAUCAGGGUUUAAUACGAUCCUGGACAGCGAUGGUGUUGACGUUUAAUGUAGGAGGGAAAGUAGUGGAGAGAGUGGAUUUGAUAAGGAAGAAGAAAUGGCCAUGGAGAUUAGAUAUUUUGCCAUUUGCAAUUCUGUAUGCGAUUUGGAUGGUCACUAUUGUGCCGAGCAUUGACAUUGUUGAUGCUUUAAUUGGUCUUGGUGGACUCGUUUCGAUUCAUGUUCUGGCGUUGCUUUUCACUGCCUGGUCUGUUGAUUUCAAGUGCUUUGUUCAGUAUAGUAAGGUAAUAUGGCUGUUUGCGUGUGUUUGGUUCUGGAUUUUGGGGCUUUGGUUAGGGUUUUGUUUUGUGAUUUGGGGAUUUUGUGUUUAGGUUAAUGAUAUUUAUGCUGCGGAUUCAUGUAAAGUUACGCCGGCGAAGUUUUCUGGUUCUAAAGAAGUUGUGCCAUUGCAUAUUCGUCAACAAGGGUUUUUUUUUUUUUUUAGUAUUGUAAGGUAAUAUGGCUGUUUGCGUGUGUUUGGUUCUGGAUUUUGGGGCUUUGGUUAGGGUUUUGUUUUGUGAUUUGGGGAUUUUGUGUUUAGGUUAAUGAUAUUUAUGCUGCGGAUUCAUGUAAAGUUACGCCGGCGAAGUUUUCUGGUUCUAAAGAAGUUGUGCCAUUGCAUAUUCGUCAACAAGGGUUUUUUUUUUUCUUUAUUCAAGUGGAAAUGAUUUUUUUUUUCUCUAUGUGGUAGAUUGGACUGAUAAUUGGAUGUUCUUAGUUGAUGUAGGAUAAUAAUGGAUUCAUUUUGCAGAUUGUUUUUUCGGGGGAGUGAAAAAUGAUGUCAACUAUAGAAUGAUAGAAGAAUUGUAUGCUCAUGGUGGUGAUGGUAUUUGAGCUGCUAGGGAAAUGUAGUUUGUUGUAAGUGGAUUUGAUGAAAGUUUGAUGAUUUUUGAGGUGGUGAGGAUGAAGGUUGGAUGAAAGCUAAAAGUGGAUUCACUUCACGAAUUGUUUUUUCAGGGGAGUUAAGGAUAGAAUUGAAUGCAAUGCAUUUUGAAUGGGAAUAUUUUUCAUUUAAUUUCAUAUAUUUUGAAUGGGAACAAAUGCUCAAAUGGGCAAAAAACAUUUUCUGAAAUUUCAUGGUGAGGAAGAGGGUCAUCUGGCUGGAGUUUUUAUUGAUAGGAUCUUGUGAUUUUUCUGAACUUUGGUAGUGGAGGGUUUGUCUACGUUGAUUGGUCGACAUAGUGUCUCAAGUUGAAUUAAAUCAGGACAAUGUUCUAAUCAAAACGUUUAAAUUAAUAAACUUCUGUUAACCUUUGUAUAUCAUGUUUAAAAAUGCCAUUAUCAUCAUUUUGCAAAUAUGCUUGUUUCUAAUUUAAUUUCAUAUGACUUUUUCGAAAGUAUUGCAUGAUUUGAAAAAUGAGCUUUGCACUGAAUGGCUAGUGUGUGCGCUCGCAUGACAUCAUGUGAGGAGUGUCGCCGCAUGUGGAGGUGUGGAGGCGUGUAUGGCCUCGUUUGACCUCCAAAGAAGAUCUUCCAUGGUCUUUCUUGAAUCAUCUCGGUGGAUUCUUCCAUUUGAGGCUGCGAGUGUAGAGGUUGGGGUUGCGAUAUGGCGCCUACAACCUUUUUUCUCCCCUCAUCACUACUGUUGUUUGAUUAAAUCAAUAUUUUCUCAAUUUAAAUUUUUGGAUUAAUCAAAUUAUUAAAAAUAUGUUUGUGAUAAUUAAGUUUGAUGAAGUUAAUAUUUUUUCUUUGUUUAAAUUAAAAUCUAACUUGGAUUAUGUUUUAUUUCUCAUAUUUUUCAAGUUAAAAGGUUUAAUGAUUACAACUAUGUAAUUAUAUAUAUAAUAUAGAAAGAGAAGUUCGGGUAGACAAACUCAGUUUUUAUUUAUGAGAAAUCAAUUUAGAAAAUGUUUAAAAGUUUGAUGGCAAUUGUGAUUAAAAGUGCUUUUUAUUUAGAAAGGCAUCAAAAAAAUAUAUUAUUUAUUUAUUUUUAAAAUAUAAUUUUUAAUAUUAAUACAUGAAAAUAAUCUAAAAUAUAAAAAAUAAUAAUUUUAAACAAAAAAAUUUAAAUUUUUAAAGCACACGAUUUCAACUAUUUUUCCAAACACAACGUUUCAGGAGACAAGUUUCACAAUUGCCAUUUGGAUACAUGCGAUUCAUUGAUAAACAACUUUCGCAUAGGUGGCUGAUUCAAAGUAAUUAAUAAGUAAAUUAUAUAAAUAUAUAUAGCUGAUGAAGAUUGCGAAAUUAAUUAAUAGAUUAACCUAAAAAUAAUCAGUGGUAAGAACUUGAAAUGAAAAAAUUUACUCCUUAUAUGGUCUUAGGUUUGAAUACUAUGGUUGCUAAUAUUAAUAGCUACUAGAGACUUAUCUAGUUGUUAACUUCAGGACUCGUAGAAAUUAAUUGAGAUACACAUAAGCUGGUCCAAAUCAUAUAAAUUAAAAAAAAAAAAAACAAUGAUGAUUAUUCUUAUAAUGGUGCAAGGAAUUAUGCCAGUGUAUCUUUUGAUUUUAGAAGUGUUUUAAUGGUUUUUUUUCUAUAAUUUUUAUGUAUUAAAAAUUAAAAAUUAAAAAAUAUUUUUUAAAAAAUACCCCGUAACACAGUACCAGGUAUUAUUUCCGACAAGAUCAUCUAAACUCAUAAAUCAGCAUCAGUUUCUAAUGAAUGAAGGUUUUGGACAUGUUUGAUUACAUUUGAUAAUGUUUUUUUUUAAUUUUUUUUUGAUGAUUUUUAGAAUGAUUAUAGAUGUUUUGACAUAAAAAUGUAAAAAUCAAAUCACAAUGAUAAGUUUUUUUUCCAAACACGGGGAAGCAUGAUUCUCAAACCAGCUUGCUUCUAUAUAAUUAAUUAAUAUAAGCUUUUAUAUAGUUAAUCAUAAUUGUCAAACUUUAUUUUGGAUCUAACUCAUUUUAGGAUCAAAAUUACUGGAUUAUUAAGCCAAUCCAAGUCAAACCCAAAACAAAUCACUUUGAAUAAAAAUAAGAUAAAACUGAAUCACUAUUUUGGAUAAUAAUAAUAAUAAUAAUAAUAAUAAUAUUUUUUUAUUAUUAAAGUUAACUUAACCCAACCAACCCAACCAACCGAGGCAAAGGAUGUUUCGUGCAUUUGGCACGAAUUGCAGCUUCAUGCUUGGUCCUUUCUCACCCUACUAUGAAAAAGUUGAUGAAAAAGAUGAAUAUAGUGUCAAUGAACAUAAUAAUAGUUAUUUUUUAAAAUAAUUUUUGUAUGAAAAUAAUAUUUUUUAUUUUUUAAAAAUUAUUUUUAAUAUUUAACUAAUAAAACAAUUCAAAACAUGGGAAAAUAAUAAUAAUUUCAAAUAAAAAAUAAAAUUUAAAAAAUCACAAAACACAUUUUCAACAUCGAAAACAAACACCCCAGAAGUUAUCAACUACACCACUAAUUGCUCUAACCAACUUCAUCAAUUACACAAAAAAAUAGUGCAUUUUUAGACAGGGUAUCCAAUUCCACUUUCAAUCUUUUCUUCAUCAUGAAUGGAGGGGCCAUACCUUAAAAUGGGGCAUGGCUUGCUCGAGAAUUUGCUUCAAGGCUAAAGCACUCAUGAAAUCCAGAUCAUACAUGGAACCUCACUCUUCAUAGAAGAAUCGAGUAUAGUUUCUAAAAAUCACAUAUUGAAAAACAUAAAUCGAACCACUUGCUUAGACAAGCUUCUAUACUGCUUAAAACCAACUGUACGUCCAUAUUUAGGCGUUGAAAUCCGAAACCAGUAUAGCAGAAAGGAGAUCAAUUUGCCAUGACAAUCACUGCAUCGAACAAUUAGGGACAUAUCAGAGAAAUUAAAAAAAAAAGGUAACAUUUAUGUUCACCCACUUGAAGAAAACAGCAAGUCAGAAGAACAGCACCAACUGCAAUAAUUAACCUUAAAUUUUUUCCAGAAGGCGUAGAGAGGAAUCCACUUUACAAAUUGUUCAUAAAUAUUAUAUAAAUUAAAAGCUCGUCAAAUGAUCUAUCACCAGUGAUGUUUAGCGGUAACUGAUUCCACCUCUUGUAAGACAGCAGAGGUUUUGUUAUUACACAGUAAUUAAAGGCUAGUUAGAGCAGACAUUUGUGAAGCUUCAAGUCAGACAUAGCCUAUGCAUAGUCAUGAAUGAGAACGCCAUAGAAAAUCAAAUUCCAGACAGAUUAAAAUCGAAACAAAGUAACAACCACAGAAGGUAGCUGAGCAGCUGUGACUUUCAAGAGGACUACAAAUUCCCAUAAAUGUUUAUGCUACUCAGCUCUUUACCUGUUGGACAGUGGUUUUAGCUGCUCUCUAACUUAUGUCAGCAUAGAAUUGUCGCUAAGAACUUCACGAGUCCUUUAAGAAGCACCAUCCAAUUGGAACCGCAAUCUUCAUAGAAAAAUCAUAUAUUGAAAAACAUAAAUCGAACAACUUGCUUAGACAAGCUUCUAUACUGCUUAAAACCAACUGUACACAUAUUUAGGCAUUGAAAUCUGAAACCAGUAUAGCAGAAAGGAGAUCAAUUUGCCAUGACAAUCACUGUACCAAACAUUUAUGUUGACCUAGCAGUUUUUCCAGAAGGUGUAGAGAGGAAUCCACUUUACAAAUUGUUCAUAAAUAUUAUAUAAAUUAAAAGCUUGUCAAAUGAUCUAUCCCCAGUGAUGUUUAGGGCUAACUGAUUCCACCUCUUGUAAGACAGCAGAGGUUUUGUUAUUACACAUUAAUUGAAGGCUAGUUAGAGCAGACAUUUGUGAAGCUUCAGGCCAGACAUAGCCUAUGCAUAGUCAUGAAUGAGAAUGCCAUAGAAAAUCAAAUUCCAGAUAGAUUAAAAUCGAAACAAAGUAACAACCACAGAAGGUAGCUGAGCAGCUGUGACUUUCAAGAGGACUACAAAUUCCCAUAAAUUUUUAUACUACUCAGCUGUUUGCCUGUUGUUUACCUGUCGGACAGUGGUUUUAGCUGUUCUCUAUUUUAUGUCAGCAUAAAAUUGUCGCCAAGAACUUCAUUAGUCCUUAAAAGAUUUAGAAAACACAAACACGAAUCCACCCUAAACUAAAAAUAUCAAUGUCUGUUUCAACCCCCAUGAAAAGGAGUUGUAUUGCUUCAUGAAAUAAUUUAACAUCCAAAAUGGAAGGAUCCAUCCUUACUUGCAAACAUGUGUUCCAACAGUUAUCAUCUCAGCAAGAUUCAAUGACAUCCUAGUUCGAUCUGCAGCAAGAGUUAAAAAACUGCCCAAAUUAAAACCAAAGUGUUAUCUUCCAGAGACAAUCUGAGAAAAAAAAAAAUAGAAGCCUUCUUAAAGGAAAUACUGUUGUAUUAUUUUAGCCUAAUACUGAGAAAUAAAACCUACCGAUAUCCAAAUUUUAGAGACAUUUCAUCCUGAAAACAAUAAAAAGAUCCCUUUCUUUCUGCAUCAUAGAUAACACGUCAUUACCCAUUUCCCACCGUUGUCCUAAGAUACAUUCCAAAAUAUUUAAGAAUUUCAUUUAAAAUUAACACUACCCCAUAAUAUAUUUAAAUAUAUCGUUAAAUGCCCUCAGAAAGAAAAUAACAAGAGGGUAACUGAUUUUGGAACCUAAAAAACUCAAUUUUUAAACCAUUAAGUUGAGGAUAAAGAAUUAACCAACCCAUCAAUUUCUCUGUUGUUCAAUUUCCCAAUCCAAUCUGAGAUAACAUCCUGCAAUGUUCUUCCCAUCUGUCCAAUACACCUUACUGUGAUCUAUAAAACAAAAAAUGUGAGUCAAUCUUAUCAGACUUUGAACGUCACUACUGAUUAAGUGAUAUAUAAAACAAAAAAUGUGAGUCAAUCUUAUCAAAGUUUGUACAGUCACUACUGAUUAACAUUCUGGAAAGGAAAAGCUCGUACAUUCUCCAUGCUGAUUUUUUCAUGUGCCAAAAAUGGAAUCCUAGAGAUAUUGUGCUCUGAAAUCUGCAAAGGACAAGAUAUCGCAUAUUAAAGGAAGUGUACAAACCCUAACAUGUUCACAAACUUGACAACCACAAAAAAGAAAAAAGAAAAAAGAAAAAAGAAAAUCGUACAGUUAUAUGGAGAAAUCGCAAAUACUUUGAGAAUUAUCAUGGUUUUUAGACGAACUACCAAGGAAAGGCAAUGAAAGAAGAGUUAAUAAGGAUCAUGUAACUAAAGUCCACGCACAGAUCAUAUCAGAAUAAGUAAAACUAAAUGCUUAAAUAAUCUAGAUGAAAGAAUUGAAUGUGUACACACGCAGUGAGAAAAAUAUUCUGCAAGCCAAAGUUGGUAGACAGUAGCAGUAGAUUAAGCUAACAACAUCAUUGUUUGUAGCAGUAGACGGUAGAAACAUCAAUGAACAAUUAGAGAGGGGUACACUAAGUGAAUGCCCAAAGUUAACAAAAACUAAUUUUGGCUUAAAGAGAUCUCUUAUAGAAAUUGCAAUAAUUCCCUUUCCUUUACCUUUACCUUUUCCUAGUCCCAAAGUCUCCUCCUCCAUUAUAAUGACCAUUCCCAAAUGAAGCCAUUCCAUGUUCCCAUCUCUGAAAUCAGAGCAUUCAGAUUGAAAAUACAAGCACUUGUCAAGAGUUAUAAGCAAUAUGAUUCAUCAACUAAAAACAGCUCUUUGUCUCCCACAAGAAGGCAACCCUUUGCCUGUGAUUUAGUCAAUUGUCUAGUAAGACAGUUGAUAACAUAGAAAUUCAUGUCUUAGAUUUCUGGAGGGUUACUACUUAAUUAUAUCAAUCUCUAUACAUAAAUCAACUCCUCCAUGAUAUCAGACAAAUGAAAAAUAAGUUUCAACCUCGAUCUCUAAUAAUGCAAAAAGCACCACCAUGCCUGUAAGAAUCUUCUUUCAGCAAUCGGAAACUAGAUUUUCGGAUUUUACAGGACAAUAGCACCAUCCACUUCCUUACUUUGAGAGAAGAAAAACCUCUUUAAAACUUUACUCAGAAAACCUUAAAAUAUAAAUUGAUGAACUGAUUUAACAGCUCUUAGUACCCAAGAUUGAUUUCGGACCUCUCAGACAAGAGAUAAGAAUUGCGCAGCUAAAAAAUGAUCUGUUCAAGGAAAUACAAGUAACCUCUCGAGUCAGAUGGUACUGCAACAGUGAAGAAUAAAUCGAUAUCCAAAAUCCCAGCAACGAAAAGCUUGCUGUCAAACACUACAGUUAAUUCAAUGCAAAAUAGGAAUAGGAACUGUAUGGUAUUUGAUACUUGGUUAGGCAAGAAAAGGCCAAUGUUCAGUACAAAAGAGUAAAAUUGAAUUAACCAAUAGGGUUUACGUUCAUCAUUCAUGAUUUAUGUUAAAAAAUUCUCCUACUUUCUAACUCCAAUGUACUCUCAUUAUAAUUAGAUUCACUCACAUUCAACAAUAGUACUUUCUCACAGUAACAAUCCCUCCACAAACAUGGAUGCACACAUACAUUAACAGGUUGCAUUCCAAAAAAUGAAACAACGAAAAUUAAGAACCAAACCCAGGAAAGUUUCUUUCUUUGCCAAAUCUCCUCAUCUGGGUUCAUUUCAUUUCAAAUUAACUUCCAAUAAAAUGUCAGUUUCAACACUAAACUUCACUAAAAACAGUUUCGUUAGUCAUUUUCUUAGGAAACAAAGAGAGCAUAACAUAAGAAAGAACACAAACUGUAGAAAGAAAGAGAAGUUGAAAAUACCAAGUUUAGCCCAGACAUCAUUAGAGGAGGAACUGAAACCAGAAGAGCAUCCAGCAAUCUCCACGAUUUUUUCCUUCAAUGGGUAUUAUUUAAAACUCAAAAGAAUGAGAAAAGUUUCUCUUUGAGAGAAUUUUGAUUUGUGGGUUUUGAUUUUUGAUUUUCGGAGUUUUAAAGAGACAGAAGAGAAGGACAAAGCGUACACAGGAAGGAGAUGUCUCGACCAAGUUCAAUGCAGCGUACUGCCACAUUCUCACAAAAUUAAUUAAUUUUUUUAAAAUUUAAUAUAAUUUAUAUAUUUUAAAUCAUUUUGAUAUACUAACAUAAAAAAUAACUUUUAAAAAAUAAAAAAAUAUUAUUAUCAUGUAUUUUAAUAUAAAAAAUUAUUUGAAAAAUAAUCAAUACCACACUACUAAGCAUAUUUUAAAGUGGGCUGCAUGCAAUCUAUGUAAGAACUCAGUUUUAUUUUUAGCAUCACAUUUUAAAUAAUCUAAAACCAUUAUAAAACAAUUAAUUUAAAAUAAAAAUAAAGAAAAAUAAAUAUUUAUAAAAGAACUUUUGAAAUAUCCAAAGUGACUCAUUAGACCUCACAUAUAAUAUUUUUUUGAAAUAUUAUAUAUUUUUAUUUUAAUUGAAAAAUUAUUUAUAAUGAAAGAUUAAAAACUUAGGGUAAAUUCUUUUUUUUUUAUUUAAAGAAUAACUAUAAAUUUAAAAGUACAAAGAGGCUUUUAGUAGUGAAGAUUAAGAAUGUAAUGGAUAUUUUUUUUUAAUUCUAAAACAAGAUAUAUAUUUUUUUUCAUGGAAAUAAUAUUAUCUAAUUUAUUGAAUUAGAUAAAUUUUAUGAAUUCAAUUCAAUUCAAGGUUGCAUAUCAAGGUUGAAUAUCAAUUUUUGAAUUUGAUUUUUUUAAAAUAUUAAUUUAAAUUUCAAAUAAAAUUCAAUUCAUAAAAAUUAUACAAAAACAAAGAGAGGCUUGAUUUGCUAGAAUAAUUCCUUUGAAAUUAAUAUUCUAAAAAUACUCAUCUCUUUCUUUCCUCUCAGAAACUCUACACGAACACUCUGACAAAGAUAAGUAAGAGAAGUAAAGCAAAUAUGGUGACUAAAACAAAAGAGCCGCAAUUGAAUAGAUUGUAGAGUCAAGUGGUCAAUGAAGGAGGAGGGGCAUAAGAGCAUCCCUGCUUAGUUAGAAAGCUCAAAGUUUGGCGUUCUGUCAAGGUUUUAAAGCAUGGUUUAUGGAUCUUGAAUGAUUCCAAAAAAAGAUCCAGUCUUGAUCCUAAAGGUGUGUACUGUCACGAAAGCUCAAACUACUAAACUAAUUACAGAAUCAAAAUCCAACCACACAACUACCUUGCUGCCAUCUACCUUGCCUCAGACACCACUGUCUCAGAUUUACUUUGAGCGAUUCCCCUGUUGGGUAGAUUAUCGAAGCCACCGCAGAACUUUUAACAAAUAUGUAGUGAUUGUAAUGUACAUAUCACGAAGAAACAACAGAAGAAACCGGUUUAGCUUUUAACAGAAACGGAGGUUUGGCCUUGUUACAAUGAAAACAGAUUCUUCACUACAAGAGCUCCUUGGAAAGCUUAAUGGAGUAUGGUUUAGGUCUUAUCGUCUACGUGCAAGUUUGAAGCGGUUUCAACAGGUGAAUAAAGAUUCAACGCAUCGGAUUCCGAUUAGAAAAACAUGUUCAACGUGUAUUAGUACUAGUAAAGGAGCGAGACUGCAGAAGUUAUGCUAUGGUUGCGCGCAGAAAAAAAUUCAGCAAGCACUCGUGAACUCCGAAGCAAUGCACACCCUACUAAUCAAACAGAGGAUAUCAACGGAGUCCCUGUCAUCCAAAACGAGACUAUUAAUGAAGUCCCUGUUGUUCAACCAGUGGCUGCACACUUUAUAACACAUGAUCCAGCAGAGGAGGAGGUUGCAUGGAUGAAGAAUAGCUUGGUAGGAGUGAUAAAUGAAGGUGUUAAUUAUCAGGAUAUAAGGAAAGACUUGCAUUCUAAUGGAGUUCAAUUAACGGGUUUUUGUUCUAUGGGUGCAUCACAAGCUUUGAUCUCGUUCAAUACUUCUGACUCCACGAUGGAAGCUUUUGAAUUGGAUAUAACGCCUUGGCAUGGUUAUUUUGAUGAGUUGAGGCCUUGCAUUGAUACAGAUGGUCCAAUUGAUCGAUUUGCCUGGAUUGAAGCUACUGAUUUGCCAAUAACUGGUUGGAAUGUUACGAGCAUCAACAAGAUUAUAUCAGUAUAUGGUAGAGCUAUAGGUUUUGACAAAAUCAAUUUGGGGUAUAGCAAUCUUGGUCAUAUUAAUCUUUUAAUUGGAAAACGGCUUCACAGAUUUAUUAAAGAAAACACUACUUUGUGGUUAAAUGGGAAAUAUUAUAAGAUCAAAUUGCAGGAAUUGGAUCCUCUGCAUUAUCUAGUAUCUGAAGCUAUUGAGGACAACAUGACCGCUUUUGAUCUGAUGAAGCAGGAAGAUGAGAGUGAAACAGAGACUAGUACUGUUGACACUUUGAUGUUGAAAAUGCUGACGAGAUAGCAACUAAAAGCUGUGCACAUUUGGCGUUGAUUGUGGAUGUGAUUAGCUGUUCGCAUAACAACAGGGAUUUGGAAAUCUGUAAAACAGCUGUUUCUGAUGUUCCUGUUGAAAUUCUGUUCCGGAAAUAUUGGAGAGAAGAUCACCACAACAAGAUUUCAGGGGUGUUUGGAAUUAAGUUUCAACUACGGAAACUACUAAACAAAAACAGUAUCUAGGAGGUGCCAUCAGAAUCAAAUGUUGAGAGGCACAACACAUCCCAUCCCAUGAAUUAGUGCCUCUUGACAGUCCUCAACUAUCAGAAGAACAACACUCAACAUCUCUGGGUUCUUCUACACCCAGUAGAGCAGCCAUAAACCCAAAUACCCAGCAUAUAUUUCACCCUAUGAUUUUACAGAGAAGGAGGAGGAAGGUUAAAGUCUUUUCAUCAACUGACAGUUUAGAAAACGAUACGGCAGAAGGGGAAGGGGAUGGUUCAAGCUCACUUGACUCUGGCAUCAGACAAGGAAACGCUCGUUACACUCAUCUUAGUGACGUGUCUGUACCAUAAAAGAAUGGGAAAGAUGAUGAGGUGCAAGAGAUGUUAAAUGCUGGGCAGUUUCUGGGAUUUAUAAGUGCUUAAGAUCAGGCGGUUCUAACAGUAUACAUUACAAAGCAAUUGGAUAGGGAGAUUGGUGAUUAGGCUGCGAAUUAAUUAAUAGAAGGUGGAGAGUCUGAAUAAUGAGCAUAGGUACAAUUAGUAAUAGUUCUAUUGCCUUGUAAGUUUAACAUGAGUGUUUGGAGGAAUGAUCCAAAUGAUGUGAAAUAAUGAAGUACAAUCACUAACAGGGUAUUAUGUAGGGUAUUGUGUAGAAGAGGAUUUCUUAGAAAAUAUAAAUUUAAUUGCUCCUAAAAAAACAAUUUGUUUUUUUUUGUAUUGUUGAAACACAAGUGGUCAGUCAUAAUUCGUUUGGUAUUUAAUGGUGCAUGUAGAAAAGAAUUGGUCAAAUGUUAACCUAAUGGAAUGAAUUGUGAAAGGAAAUUUCAAAGUCUAGCAAUUAAUACGUUAUGGAAUAUUUUAGGGGUAUUUGAGUACUAGUUAGAAAUAAAGUGGUCUUUGAGAAUCAAUUGCUAUAUUGGAAUUCAACCCUUGAAUUAAUUCUCCAUCGUCUUCAUCUAUGGCUGAAGACCUUUAAAGCUAACUUUAUGCAUGGAGGUUUUGACCCUUUCAAAGGCCAUAAAGAAUUUUGAAUGGACCCUCAUGUAGAACUAUUGCUUGUACUUUCGGUGUCAAAAAGUCUUUUAAAACAAUAGAAAUAGAAAUCUUUUGCUACAUAUAAAACUACAUUAUGGAAACAUGGUAUGAGAAUAUCGGUAAGGUUUAUAUUGCUGGGAAGUCUAACUUUUUGAACCAAAGAAAGAAAUUCAGUGUAACAUUUAAUCAAAAGUAAAGAAGAAAGUUCAGUUGACGUACUAGUCAAAGUCUUGUUUGGAAAAAAAAACCGAGGCUUUGAAAAAAGGAUUGUGGAAAUUUAGACCAUUUGAUUUUGAGAGUAUCAGAUUAGACGGAGGAGAGAUGGAGGCAGCCGAUUGCACGAUCAUGGUGUUAUUAGUUUGCCGCGUGGAAAAUCAUGCCAUUUGACUCCGAUGCGGUCAAAACCUCACCAACAACACGGCUGAUAAAAUAGGCCAUGCACUUCACGAUACACCUGCUUUUUGACUGCUUUAGCUCUCGGAAAAACUGUUUGAUGCUCAAGCAAGAGCUAUAAAUUUGCUUGAUUUUGAUCAAUUUGUGGCUAACGAAAUCUCCUUGCUCUAUGUUACCUUUUAUUUUUAACAAUUAUUGCGUUGCUAAUAAAUUGCAAGAAAGCAUAUUCUUUCUCUGGAACAAUAGUCUGUACCAACCUUCAUCAGUCCUCAUUACUUCGCUCUUCAGCUAACCUUUCUGAUUGCUGCAAUUUGAUCUUUAAAGUCACCAAGUUGAUGGAAUCCGACCAACUCAUAAACACCAUAUAGAGGUAAUCUCUGCGAUUGUUGCUACUGAUUGCAUGCAUGCAGUCCUUUUUGGUUUCAUCUUUUCAGCAAUAUCGAUUGUUGCAGGACAGCGAUAUUCAUCAGCUAACCUCUCUGAUCUCCAGUUGCUGCAUUUUCAUAGCUGGCGGAAUCCAACCAGCCCUUGGGUUAUGUAGAGGUAUAACUAACUCUCUUUGCUUCGUUUUAAUUUCACGUAUUUACUUAUAACAAUAAUUUGGAAGUUUUACGUUCAGAUAGAUAUAUCAUCAUUGACCAGUUUAUUGAGUUCCUUGUAGAUCUUCAAGCACAAUAUCAUUCUAUUUUAGAAUGCAGAAAGUAAAACGCAAGCAAUCCAAAGAUGAAGAAAACGAUUCAUCCUCGCGAAAGAGAAGAAAAGCAGACCUCAGUAAGCCUGUCAGUUUUGUCUCCACAGGUAACGUAGAAAUAUCUCGUGCUGAGAGCAGUUAUGUUAAAAUCGGAUCGUGAAAGUUCCAUUCUGCUAUUAGGCUAUGCUUAUUAGCAAUCAAAAUCAGUUUACUUCUUUCUGUUAGAAUAAAUAACUAGGGGAGAGGGAGGUAAGGAAGCAUGGUGGAAACAAUAUAAUAUAUUAUUUUCUAAGAGAGGAAGUUCUUUAGGACACAUCAAAAUUAACCCCACCACUUUUAUCAUUUCCAAGUUCAUGAUUUGCUGUCAAUAUGUUAUUUGUUUCUUAAAGAUUAAUCACUUUCACGGGGAUUCCUCUUUAUCAUGUCACUUAAAUUAUAUACAUAUCAAAAUUCAGCUUCUCUAACAAAUUCCCAUCAGAAUUUACAUGUAUUGUCUCUGAUGAUCGCUUUACAUGCAUUCCUUGCUCCAUUGCUAAUUUAUUGUGUCAUAAUUUCUGCAGCUGCCAUGACAGAGCUAGAGUCUUCUCGCUCUAGACCAAAUGGGGCCUACGAUGUAUUUCUGAGUUUUAGAGGAGAAGAUAAUCGCAAGAAUUUUACAGAUCAUCUAUAUACUGCCUUAGUCCAAGCAGGAAUCUACACUUUUCGAGAUCAUAAUGAAAUUCCUAGGGGAAGAAAUCUCCAAACAUCUCCUCAAGGCAAUUCAAGAAUCAAAGAUAUCUAUAGUGGUCUUCUCUAAAGGAUAUGCUUCUUCUAGAUGGUGUCUUAAUGAACUUGUAGAGAUUCUUGAGUGCAAAAACAGGAAAACUGGUCAGAUUGUUCUUCCUGUAUUUUAUGACAUUGAUCCUUCAGAUGUGAGAAAGCAGACCGGCAGUUUUGUAAAAGCAUUUGAUAAGCAUGAAGUCUGUUUUAAAGAGAAGGUGAAGGAGUGGAGAAAAGCUCUUGAGGAGGCGGGAAAUCUCUCCGGAUGGAAUCUCAGUGAUAUGGAAAAUGGGUACGCCUUUUUCCCUCUAAGAUUCCGUGGCACACAUUUAUGGAGUAAUUAUACAAUAGAUUUUACCAUGUGAAAUAAUAAUUUUUUUUUAGCAUGGUUAAUUGUCUCUCUAUUAAAGACUUGCUUUUGUUUAUGAGCAGGCACGAAUCAAAAUUUAUCCAAGACAUUAUCAAGGAUGUGUUGAAUAAAUUGGAUCCCAAGUACAUAAAUGUUUCUACUCACCUAGUAGGUAUUGAUCCCCUUGUACAUACUAUUAGUGACUUCAUAAGUACCGCGACAGAUGAUGUACGCCUUGUGGGCAUACAUGGGAUGCCGGGAAUAGGAAAGACGACUAUAGCAAAAGUUGUAUUUAAUAAACUCUGCUAUGGAUUCGAGGGAAGCUGUUUUCUUUCGAAUAUCAAUGAAACAUCAGAACAAUCGAAUGGUCUUGUUCUUUUACAAGAACAACUUCUUCAUGAUAUCUUGAAGCAAAAUCCUGCAAAUAUCAAUAAUGUUGAUAGAGGAAUGGUUCUGAUCAAAGAACGACUUUGUCACAAAAGAGUUCUUGUUGUUGUUGAUGAUGUGACUUAUCAAUACCAACUAAAUGCUUUGGUGGGAGAUGGAAGUUGGUUUGGUCCCGGAAGUAGAGUAAUAAUUACAUCUGAAGAUGAACGCUUGCUUCUAAAAGUGGAUCGAAAAUGUCAGGUCGAAAAUUGAAACGAGAUGCGUCCCUACAACUUUUCAGUUGGCAUGCCUUCAGGGACACCAAGCCAGCAAAAGAUUAUGUUGAGGUGUCGAAUGAUGUCGUUGAUUAUUGUGGAGGGCUUCCUUUAGCCCUUGAGGUUUUAGGUUCUUGUUGUUGGUGGGAGGAACCACUGGUGGUGGCUUUGAAACACUCAGAGGGGAUAAAACACACUGGUUUUAUUACAAAAUCCGAAGCUUACAAUUAACACAAAACAAAAGCUUAACACACGCCCUCUCUCUCUCUCUAUUCUCUUUCAAGUGUUUCUCUCUAUUCUCUCCACACAUAUAACAUAAGCUGGGCACUCUAUUUAUACACGAAAUCAAAACAAGAAAAUUCAACCUUCAAGUGUGAAGGCGGCUGGCGGCUGUGGCAGCUGUGGAGGCGGCUGGCGGCUGCGGCUGGUGGCUGGCGGCUGGUCGGUUGGUGGCUGGUCGGUGGCAGCUGGUGGUUGCCUUCCUUGACCAUCUAGAGGUUGAGUUUAAUUCAACAAAUCUCCCCUUUAAACUCAAUCGAGGGAUAUCAUGCCAAGCAUGAACACUUCUCUCUUCAAUGCCUUCUCUGCUUGUAGACCCUUUUGACACCUAUUGCUUUCUUCUUUUCUGGUGGGUCCUUAUCUGCAUGGAAACAAAACAGAGUUGUAUCUUCCAUGACCUGAGUGGUAUCAUACAACUCUUCAAGAUUCCGCAUCUUUCUUGGUCCUUCUGACGAGGAUGCUGAUGGUGGUGUUGAUGAUGAUGCUCCUGGUGUGUUCCUCCUGUUGAAUACAGGGAAACUGUGUGCCGGACUUUGUGGUUCAGCUGCUGGUAUAAACACUGGACUUUGUGGUUCAGCUGCUGGCACAAUCGGUUCUUCUAUAAGUACUGUUGGUACUUCUUCACCUUCAAGGAUCAAAUCAGUGUUGAUCCAUCUGACUGCUUCUUGAUCACCAUUCCAUGCCCAAGAUUUAUCUUCUUCAAAGAUAACAUCUCUACUCGUAAUCACCUUCUUCGUGAUAGGAUUAUACAGCCUGUAUCCCAUCCUUCUUUCACCAUAUCCGACAAAGAUGCAUUUCUCGCUCUUAUCAUCGAGCUUUCUCCUUCUUGCAUCUGGGAUCUUUGCAUAUGCCACACAACCAAAGACUCGUAGAUGAGUAACACUUGGUUUGUGACCACUCCAUGCUUCUUCUGGAGUACCUUGCAAACUUCUGGUUGGGCAGCGAUUCAACAGAUACACUGCACAUGAUACAGCUUCAGCCCAGUAUUGCUUGGGCAGCUUCUUUGCUUUGAGCAAACUUCUGCCAUGUCAAGAAUCGUGCGAUUCUUCCUUUCUGCUACACCGUUCAGCUGUGGUGUAUAAGCUGGCGUCGUCUGAUGUCUGAUGCCUUGUUGUGUACAAUAGGCUUCAAAGUCAUUUGCUGUAUAUUCUCCACCUUGAUCAGAUCUUACGGUUCUGAUCGUGUAACCAGUUUGCUUCUCCACAAUUGCUUUAAAAUCUUUAAAACAAUUGAAUACUUCUGACUUCCUCUUCAGAAAGUAUAUCCACGUCUUUCUACUAAAAUCAUCAGUAAAAGUGAGGAAGUACCUAUUUUGUCCAGUCGACAUAGGCGUAAUUGGGCCACACACAUCUGUGUGUACUAACUCCAGUGGCCUCUUUGCUCUCCAGUUGACUUCUUUGGCAAAACUGGAUCUGUGUUGUUUGCUGAGGACACAACUCUCACAGACUUCUCUCUGGAUGAUCAAUGUGAGGCAAACCUUUGACCAUCUUCUUGCUUGCUAGCAUCUUCAUACUCGUGAAAUUCAGAUGUCCAAGCCUCAGGUGCCAAAGCCAUUCUUCACUGUUGGUGAUGGCACUCAAACACCUUGUUGCAUCAUACUGGAUGUUCAAAGGAAACAUCCUAUUCUUGGACAUUUUCACGUAGGCCAUUAAUCUCCCAUUGUUGUCUCUAAUUGUCAGAUGACAAUUCUUCGAGUAAAAACUAUAUCCUCUCUCCAAAAGUUGGCCUAAGCUGAUCAGGUUCUGCUUUAUGGCUGGGACAUAAUACACAUCGGCGAUGUAGCUGGAAUCGCCAUUCUUCAACUUGACUGGGAUGUUGCCUUUACCUUUGAAUGGAACCUUUGUGGUAUCUCCAAAAGUAACUAGACCUUGCUUGGUCUCAUCUAGAUCACCAAAUAACUCUCGGUAGCCGCACAUGUGAUUGCUGGCUCCAGUAUCUAGAUACCAUAUCUCCUCUUGUUUCUCGCCAUGUCCUUGUUGGACAAGAAAUGCAGAUGCUUCUCCAUCAUGCUUCUCUACAUAGUUGGCUUGCUCACGUAUCUCCAACGGAGCUUUCCAUCGGCAUUCAGUGCUAUAGUGCCCAAAUUGAUUGCAGCUAUAACAUUUGAUAUUUCUCUUAUCACGGUUAUUGUAACCGCCUCCUCUUCCUCUAGGAGUGAAUGCUUGUUGGCCUCGGCCUCCUCUGGUGGUGUUUCUGCCACUCUUCCUCUAAGCUUGUAUUCCAAGAACCUCUUCCUUGGAAUCUCUGGAAUCCUCCUCUGGAUUGUUGACUUCCUCCUUGAGUGGUGUAGCCACUUGAUGAAGUCUCCCCUUGCUCAUAUCUGUCCUUGAAAGACAGCUUUGCUUGUAAGGCAUGCUCAAUGGCCUUAUCUUCAUUUCGCAUUACAAUCUUCUGCUCAUGAGCUUGCAAAGAACUCAUAAGCUCAUCCACUGUCAACUUGUCCACUUCCUUGGACUCUUCAAUUGCGACAACAACAUGAUCAAAUUUUGGAUCUAUGGAUCUCAAAAUUUUCUCAAUAAUUCGAGUAUCGAUGAGGGCUUCUCCAUUUCUUCUCAUCUGGUUGACUAUCACCAUAAUCCUUGUGUGAUAAUCAGAAAUAGACUCCGAGGACUUCAUUCGUAAUAAUUCGAAUUCUCCUCUCAAAGAUUGAAGACGAAUCUUCUUGAUUCUGUCAGCACCUUUGUAUUUCUGUUGGAGAGCCUCCCAUAUAUCAUGUGACGUUUCAGCGGAAGCUAUUAUCUCGAAUGUAUCUUCAUCAAGACCUUGAUAGAUGAUGGUCUUUGCUUUGUUGUCCUUCUUUCUGUUGACUUUGAGGGCUUGCUUCUGUGCCUCUUGUAAAAUCUUCUCUUUCUUUGGACUCUGGUUCAUCAUAACCAGUUUGUACAAUAUCAAAACACUCUUGUGACCCAAGAAAUGCCUUCAAUCUGAUGCACCAACUAUCAUAGUUGUCUUUGGUCAGCUUCGGGAUGAGUGUAUGUGUACCUUCUGUAGUCAUUUUGCUCUUUUAAUGACUAUAUCGCCUUCUGGGAGCCGAAUUUGACCAAACGGACACUGUAGAUCGAUCCGGAAUGGUCCAAAUAGUCGGGAACCGGUCUGACUUUGUUGAAAUCGGGUCAGAAAAUGGGUGAACCGGUCAAAAAACCAAUUCUGUACGGCGGGCGGUUCGCUGGGUUGAACCGGGAAUAUUCUGGGGAAUAUUCGGGGAAUAUUCUGGGGAAUAUUCUUGGGAAUAUGCUGGGGAAUAUUCGUGGAAUAUUCUGGGGAAUAUUCCUUCGGCUCGGCUCGGCUCGGGGUAACGGCUCGGCUGUGUGGCUUGGCUGGACUCGGCUUAGGCGGCUUACACGGCUCGAAUAUGGCGCGCGUGUGGCUCAGUCGUCUUCAACCUCGGGGCGCGUGGGAUGCGCGUGGGCGAUCUGGCUGAAUAUUCAGACGGCGCGUGUGGGCUACCCCGGACUCCGAUGAGGCUGAUUUUUGCGGCGUUGAGUUCGUCUUGAUGAGCUCUACACUGUGGAAUGAUCAAAACUUGUUUUUGACAACUUUGAAAAUUCGGAUAUACCCCAAAACUCUUCUGUUUUCCGACGAACGGGGCUCUGAUACCAAUUGUUGGUGGGAGGAACCACUGGUGGUGGCUUUGAAACACUCAGAGGGGAUAAAACACACUGGUUUUAUUACAAAAUCCGAAGCUUACAAUUAACACAAAACAAAAGCUUAACACACGCCCUCUCUCUCUCUCUAUUCUCUUUCAAGUGUUUCUCUCUAUUCUCUCCACACAUAUAACAUAAGCUGGGCACUCUAUUUAUACACGAAAUCAAAACAAGAAAAUUCAACCUUCAAGUGUGAAGGCGGCUGGCGGCUGUGGCAGCUGUGGGGGCGGCUGGCGGCUGCGGCUGGUGGCUGGCGGCUGGUCGGUUGGUGGCUGGUCGGUGGCAGCUGGUGGUUGCCUUCCUUGACCAUCUAGAGGUUGAGUUUAAUUCAACACUUGUUUGUCCGGGAAAAACAAAUCUAGAUGGAAAUGUAUAAUCGACAAAUUGAGAAAAAUUCCAAACCAUGAUAUUCAGGAAAAACUUCGAAUAAGUUUUGACAAACUGGAUGACCAUAAACUACAAAAUACAUUUCUUGAUCUUGCAAGCUUUUUUAUUGGUAGAAAUAAAGAAUAUGUAGCAAAUGUACUUGAAGCUCGAUGUGGUUACAAUCCAGAGGAUGAUUUGGGAACUCUCAGUGAAAGGUCUCUGAUUAAUCUUAAUGCUUCUGAAAUAUAAGCAUGCAUAAUCUAUUACGAGACAUGGGAAGGGAGAUCAUUCACAAAGAGUCACCUAACAACCCAGGAAAACGCAGCCGCGUAUGGUAAUAACUAAAUGCAUACACAAAUGCUCGUUUAUCUUUCUUUUUAAACUUCUAGCAUAUAAUUACUUUGAAACUCUAUUGAAUUUUGUUGGUUUUUUAGGGAACGAAAGUGGUAGAGGGUUUAGCGCUAGAUGUCAGAGCAUCAGAAAAUAAUUCAUUAAGCACAGGAUCAUUUACAAAGAUGAGAUGCUUGAAGUUACUCCAAAUCAAUGGAGCACGUCUAUCGGGCCCUUCAAACUGCUUUCUGAAGAGUUGAUAUGGACAACCUAGUUGUUCUUGAUAUGCAGUAUAGUAACAUCAAAGAAUUAUGGAAGGAGAAAAAGGUAAGAAAAAUACUACAAUUCUUCAAAAUUUGUGCUUGAUGUAAUGCAUAUUUUUAAGUUACAACUUCUGAUGAUUACUUUUUGUUAUUUUCCUUACUGCUCUUACAGAUUCUCAAUAAACUAAAAAUUCUUAAUCUCAGUUAUUCAAAGCAUCUUAUUAAAACACCAAACUUGCAAAGUAUAAGUCUAGAGAAACUUUUGUUGGAAGGUUGCUCGGGUUUAUUUGAGGUGCAUCAAUCUGUUGGACAUUUAAAGAGCCUCACUUUCUUAAAUCUAAAGGGAUGUUGGAGGCUAAAGAUUCUUCCCCAAAGCAUUUGUGAGGCAAAAUCUCUUGAGAUUUUGAAUAUUUCAGAGUGUUCACAACUUGAGAAGUUGCCGGAGCACAUGGGUGAUAUGGAAUCCUUUACCGAGCUGAUAGCAGAUGGAAUUAACAAUGAGCACUUUUUCGCUUCAAUUGAACAUUUAAAGUAUAUAAAGAAGUUGUCACUGUGCGGAUACAAUUUCACUGCGGACACGCCAUUAUCUACAUCCUGGUAUUCACCAAUUUCAUCAAGUGUUUUAGAUUGGAGAGCCUUGCUGCCAACUUGUUUCACUGGUUGGAGAUUAUUGAGAAAACUAAGACUUGCUUAUUAUGGUUUGUCUGAACGAGCAACUAAUUGUGUUGAUUUUGGUUGUUUGUCCUCUCUCGAAGAAUUGAAUCUAUCAGGAAACAAUUUCUUAAGUCUGCCUUCUGGCAUCGACGUCCAUCCUAAGCUGGGGCUUUUGAGAGUGUCGUACUGCAGCAAUCUUGUAUCAAUCUCAGAGCUUCCCUCAAAUUUAAAAUUCUUGGAUGCAAUCGGUUGCACAUCAAUGGAAAAGGUAAGACUUCCAGUCCAGUCCAAAAACAAUGAAAAUCUGUCUCUAUAUAGGAGUCAAAAUUUAACAGAGAUUCAGGGCAUGGACAUGGAAGGUCUAAGUAAUCAUGGCUGGAUUAUUUCCUCUGAUACCGCCUCCGAUUUAUCAAAUAAUUACAAGAAGAGUUUUGUUGAGGUACUAUUUCUGUCUCUUCCGCACACAAAUAAAGACACAAUUGGCAUAAACUAUAUAUAUAUAUUAGUGUCUAAAAUUUCAGCACUCUUUGUAAUUAAUCAAUAUAUAUAUAUAUAUAUAUAUGCAGGCAUUGUGGAAUGGUGGUUAUGGAUAUCAUAUUCACGGCUAUGAUGCCAAAUUGCUUAUGGGAAUCUAUCAUCACAACGUGCGAAAGGGGUUCACCUUCCAUGGAGAAGGAUGUUCAUUAUCAUUUCAUAUACCUCCAGUUUUUCAAGGGUUGAUUUUUUGGGCUUUCACUACAAGGAUUUUUUUUAGUAGGAGUCAUACAAUCAAUGCUAUUAUAUAAAAAAAGAGCAACGGUAUGCAAUUGUUUGAAGCUACACUGGUAAUAGGACUCUAUUGCCCCAUAAGUUGGACAAGAUUCGUAAGUUUAAGUGAGAUGGCAAUGGAAGAAUGUUGUGGGCACGAAGAAUUGGAAUUGUAUGUGAAUUUGGGGAGCGCAGACAUUAAUGUGAAACAAUGUGGGAUCAAAGUGAUUGUAGAUUUGGAUUCAUUUGAAGGGCUGGAGUGGGAUCAUGACAUUGACAACCAAGAGUCAGAAGUGGGAAGAGAUGAAGUAGUACCAAUUCAUCUGCUUCCUCAUCCUCUUUAUGGUUCGCUGACAUUUUCUACAAUUGAGCAGUUUAAAGAUUAUUUAUAUAGGAAGAGUUUUUAUCCACUUCGCGAAGAAACUUUCAACCUGAGCUCAAUUAGUUGAAGGAUUGUUUUGUGAAAAAUCCAUACUUUAUGCCCUCUUAGAUCUUCCGUUAUCGCCUUGUUGUAUAAAAUAAAUAAAUAAAUAAAGCAUUUUGUUUUUGAGUUGGCAAAAUGAAUGAUUGCAGUGCAUGAAUAUACAGGCUCUUUUGAAAACUUAUCUCAAAGGCAAAAGUUUUAGUCAGCAUGGCUGAUCAGACUAGCACUUUUAAAGAGGAAAUUAUUUUUAAGGAUAAUGAGACUAGUUCUGUAGUCAAGAUGUCCGGAAUGGUAAUGGAUGGGUUUCCAGUCCUUGAGGAGUUCCAGCAUACCAUGAUAACUUUUGUCCCUGAUAAUGUCCAUGGAUGGAUUUCCAGUCCUUGAGGAGUUACAAACCAGAAACAGUGGAGAAAAACAAAGAGGCUUGUAAACAUUGCAUGGAGAAAUCUACAAUUGAUUCAGAUUGCAUCGAUGAUGUGACUUUUUUCUUCGAGUGUGCAUAGAGAUUGAAGUAAUUAAACAAAACAAGGCACGAUUUUGACUCUCAAAAUCACUCUAUAAACAGUUUGUUUCCAGAAAGAAAUCCAGGAGGGGCUUAUGGACGUUGAUAAAUAAUACAGGGGAGGCAGAAUUUGGGUCUGAUAAUGGGUUCAUCAAAUCACACCUUUUCUCCAGGAAAUUUUGAUAUGGCUACUAUCACUACGCGUAAGAAGAAGAAAAAGGGUUGUGUGAAGAAGAAGCAUCGAAAGGUAAAGCUCUUAAAUCUUUAGGGGGGUUUUGAGGGAACUGAUUUUGGCAUGUUUGUAGCGAUUCAUCCAUGGACUCAAGAAUUAUGAACUUUUUUUUAGAUCUGACGUCUUCUAUCAAUGGAAUACAAAUGUUCCUUGAUCAAUUUGGAUUUCACAGAAAUUUUAUACUUUCUAUUUUGAUCAACAUGAAAUUUUAUGAGAAGAUGCAAAUUACUAAUCCUUUUCAAUUAUUUAUAAUUAACAUGGACUGAUCAUAGAAUGAUGUUCAUACUUUUUAAUUUUUGCCCAAAGAUAUAAUAUAUGUUAAUAAAACUAUGCAAAUGCAUCGUAACUUCUAAUCAUUCACCACAUUUAACUAACAGUUUCCUUCUUUUUUUUUUUUUUUUCCAUCUCCCUUGAACAAAUAAUCCAAUAAAUUAUUCCCUUUCGAGUAAAAUUAUUUUCAACAAAUGAUACAUUAUAUAAAAAGAAACAGCCCAAAACACAAUGCUUUAUAUUUAUUUGUUUGUUUGUUUUGUACAACAAGGCGGUAAUAUCAGACCUCAGUACCGUUGCCAACUCAAAAACUAAAUCCUUCAACGAAUUGAGUUCAGGUUAAAUUAAGUUUCUGUAUGAAAUGGGAAAUUAGAUAAAUAAUCUUGCACUGCUCCAUUGUAGAAAAUCCUAUUGAGCCAUAAAGAGGAUGAGGAAGCAGAUGACAUGGCAGUACAUGUAUCACAUUAAUGUCAACGCCAUGAUUCCACUCUAUUCCUUCAAAUGAAUCCAAAUCUACAAUCACUUGGAUCCCACAUUGUUUCACAUUAAUUUCUUCGCUCCCCAAAUUCACAUACAAUUCCAAUUCUUCGUGUGCACAAUGUUCUUCCAUUGCCAUCUCACUUGAACUUUCGUAUCUUACCCAACUAAGAGGGGAAUAGUGUCCGACUACCUGUGUAGCUUCAAACAAUUGAAUACCGUUGCUCUUCUUUCUAAUAAUAGCAUUGAUUCUGAGAAUCCGACUAAAAACAAUCCUUGUAGAGAAAGCCCAAAAAAUCAACCCUUGAAAAACUGGAGGUAAAUGAAAUGAUAAUGAACAUCCUUGUCCAUGGUAGUUCAACCCCUUUGGAAACUUAAAAUAAUAGAUACUCAUAGCCAAUUUGACAUCGUAGUAGUGAAUAUGAUAUCCAUAACUACCAUUGCACGAUGCCUGCAUAUAUAAAUUCAUUUGAAAGAGUGCUGAAAUUUCAAACACUAACAUAUAUAUAUAUAUAUAUAUAUAUAUAGAGAGAGAGAGAGAGAGAGAUGUUGGUGGGAGAAACCACUGGUGGUGGCUUUGAAACACUCAGAGGGGAUAAAACACAAUGUUUUAUUUACAAAAUCCAAAGCUUACAAUUAACAACAAAACUCACAAUACACACCCUCUCUUUCUCUCUAAUGUUUCUCUCUAUUCUCUCCACACACAAUAACAUAAACUGAGCACUCUAUUUAUACACGAAAUCAGAAUACAAAAAUUCAAACUUUCCAAGUGAGAAGGCGGCUGGCGGCCGGUGGUGUGAAGGUGGCUGGCGGCUGCGACUGGUGGCUGGUGGCUGGUUGGUUGCCUUCCUUGACCUUCUGGAUGUUGAGUUUAAUAUUCAACAAAUCUCCCCCUUAAACUCAAUCGAGAGAUGUCAUGCCAAGCAUGAACUUUUCUCUUCAUUGCCUUCUCUCUACUUGUAGCCUUUAUCCACUAAUUUGGCUUUCGUCUUGUAGACCCAUUUGACACCUAUUGCUUUCUUAUUUUCUGGUGGGUCCUUAUCUGUAUGGAAACAAAACAAAGUUGUAUCUUCCAUGACUUGAGUGGCAUCAUACAGCUCUUCAAGAUUUCUCAUCCUUCUUGGUCCUUCUGAUGAGGAUGCUGAUGGUGGUGUUGAUGAUGAUGCUCCUGGUGUGUUCCUCCUGUUGAAUACAGGGAAUCUGUGCACCGGACUUUGUGGUUCAGCUGCUGGCACAAUCGGUUCUUCUGCAAGUAUAAUUGGUUCUUCAACAAGUACUGUUGGUACUUCUUCACCUUCAAGGAUCAAAUCAAGAUUGAUCCAUUUGACUGCUUCUUGAUCAUCAUUCCAUUCCCAAGAUUUAUCUUCUUCAAAGAUAACAUCUCUACUAAUCACCUUCUUCGUGAUGGGAUUAUACAGCUGUAUCCCAUCCUUCUUUCACCAUAUCCGACAAAGAUGCAUUUCUCGCUCUUAUCAUCGAGCUUUCUCCUUCUUGCAUCUGGGAUCUUUGCAUAUGCCACACAACCAAAGACUCGUAGAUGAGUAACACUUGGUUUGUGACCACUCCAUGCUUCUUCUGGAGUGACUCCUUGCAAACUUCUGGUUGGGCAGCGAUUCAAUAGAUACACUGCACAUGAUACAGCUUCAGCCCAGUAUUGCUUGGGCAGCUUCUUUGCUUUGAGCAAACUUCUGGCCAUGUCAAGAAUCGUGCGAUUCUUCCUCUGCUACACCAUUCAGCUGUGGUGUAUAAGCUGGUGUCGUCUGAUGUCUGAUGCCUUGUUGUGUACAAAGGCUUCAAAGUCAUUGCUGUAUAUUCUCCACCUUGAUCAGAUCUCACGGUUCUGAUCAUACCAGUUUGCUUCUCCACAAUUGCUUUAAAAUCUUUAAAACAAUUGAAUACUUCUGACUUCCUCUUCAGAAAGUAUAUCCACGUCUUUCUACUAAAAUCAUCAGUAAAAGUGAGGAAGUACCUAUUUUGUCCAGUCGACAUAGGCGUUAUUGGGCCACACACAUCUGUGUGUACUAACUCCAGUGGCCUCUUUGCUCUCCAGUUGACUUCUUUGGCAAAACUGGAUCUGUGAUGUUUGCUGAGGACACAACUCUCACAGACUUCAUCUGGAUGAUCAAUGUGAGGCAAACCUUUGACCAUCUUCUUGCUUGCUAGCAUCUUCAGACUUGUGAAAUUCAGAUGUCCAAGCCUCAGGUGCCAAAGCCAUUCUUCACUGUUGGUGAUGGCACUCAAACACCUUGCUGCAUCAUACUGGAUGUUCAAAGGAAACAUCCUAUUCUUGGACAUUUUCACGUAGGCCAUUAAUCUCCCAUUGUUGUCUCUAAUUGUCAGAUGACAAUUCUUCGAGUAAAAAGUAUAUCCUCUCUCCAAAAGUUGACCUAAGCUGAUCAGGUUCUGCUUUAUGGCUGGGACAUAAUAGACAUCGGCGAUGUAGCUGGAAUCGCCAUUCUUCAACUUGACUGGGAUGCUGCCUUUACCUUUGAAUGGAACCUUUGUGGUAUCUCCAAAAGUAACUAGACCUUGCUUGGUCUCAUCUAGAUCACCAAAUAACUCUCGGUAGCCGCACAUGUGAUUGCUGGCUCCAGUAUCUAGAUACCAUAUAUCCUCCUUUUUCUCAUCAAGUCUUGUUGGACAAGAAAUGCAGCUUCUUCUCUGUCAUCCUUCUCUACAUAGUUGGCUUGCUCACGUAUCUCCAACGGAGCUUUCCUUCGCAUUCAGUGCUAUAGUGCCCAAAUUGAUUGCAACUAUAACAUUGAUAUUCCUCUUGUCACGGUUAUUGUAACCGCCUCCUCUUCCUCUAGGAGUGAAUGCUUGUUGUCCUCGGCCUCCUCUGGUGGUGUUUCUGCCACCUCUUCCUCUAAAGCUUGUAUUCCAAGAACCUCUUCCUUGGAAUCUCUGGAAUCCUCCUCUGGAUUGUUGACUUCCUGCUUGAGUGGUGUAGCCACUUGAUGAAGUCUCCCCUUGCUCAUAUCUGUCUUGAAGACAGCUUUGCUUGUAAGGCAUGCUCAAUGGCCUUAUCUUCAUUUCGCUUACAAUCUUCUGCUCAUGAGCUUGCAAAGAACUCAUAAGCUCAUCACUGUCAACUUGUCCACUUCCUUGGACUCUUCAAUUGCGACAACAACAAUCAAAUUUUGGAUCUAUGGAUCUCAAAAUUUUUCAGUAAUUCGAGAAUUGAUGAUGGCUUCUCCAUUUCUCCUCAUCUGGUUGACUAUCACCAUAAUCCUUGUGUGAUAAUCAGAAAUAGACUGAGGACUUCAUUCGCAAUAAUUCGAAUUCUCCUCUCAAAGAUUGAAGACGAAUCUUCUUGAUUCUGUCAGCACCUUUGUAUUUCUGUUGGAGAGCCUCCCAUAUGUGAUGUUUCAGCGGAAGCUAUGAUCUCGAAUGUAUCUUCAUCAAGACCUUGAUAGAUGAUGGUCUUUGCUUUGUUGUCCUUCUUUCUGUUGACUUUCAGGGUUGCUUUGUGCCUCUUGUAAAGCAUCUUCUCUUUCUUUGGACUCUGGUUCAUCAUAACCAGUUUGUACAAUAUCCAAACACUCUUGUGACCCAAGAAAUGCCUUCAAUCUGAUGCACCAACUAUCAUAGUUGUCUUUGGUCAGCUUCGGGAUGAGUGUAUGUGUACCUUUUGUAGUCAUUUUUCUAUUUGAAUGACUAUAUCACCUUUCUGGGAGCCGAAUUUGGCCAAACGGACACUGUAGAUCGAUCUGGAAUGGUCCAAAUAGUAGGGAACCGGUCUGACUUUGAACAAAUCGGGUCAUAAAAUGGGUGAACCGGUCAAAAAACCAAUUCUGUACGGCGGGCGGUUCGCUGGGUUGAACCGGGAAUAUUCUGUGGAAUAUUUAAGGGAAUAUUCUGGGGAAUAUUCUCUCGGCGCGCUGCGGCUCGGCUCGGCGUGGUGUACGUCACGCUCAUGGCUCGGCUUGACGUCUCGGCUCGGCUCGAGGCUCAAAUAUGGCGCGCGUGGACGGCACUCGUCGUCUUCCUCUGGCACGAGUGGUUGCGCGUGGGCUACAGUCAUCGGAUAUUCAGGCGGCGCGUGUUUGUCACCGCGGUCUCCGAUCAGGCUGAUUCUUGUGACAGUGAGUUCGUCUUGAUGAGCUCUACACUGUGGAAUGAUCAAAACUUGUUUUUGACAACUUUGAAAAUUCGGAUAUACCCCAAAACACUUCUGUUUUCUGACGAACGGGGCUCUGAUACCAAUUGUUGGUGGGAGAAACCACUGGUGGUGGCUUUGAAACACUCAGAGGGGAUAAAACACACUGUUUUAUUACAAAAUCCGAAGCUUACAAUUAACAACAAAACUCACAAUACACACCCUCUAUUUCUCUCUAAUGUUUCUCUCUAUUCUCUCCACACACAAUAACAUAAACUGAGCACUCUAUUUAUACACGAAAUCAGAAUACAAAAAUUCAAACUUUCCAAGUGUGAAGGCGGCUGGCAGCCGGUGGUGUGAAGGCGGCUGGCGGCUGGUUGGUUGCCUUCCUUGACCUUCUGGAUGUUGAGUUUAAUAUUCAAUAAGAGAGAGUAUUUAUGUGCAAGAGAGACAAAAUAGUACCUCAACAACGUUCUUCUUCUUAUUAUUUGAUAAAUCGGAGGCGAUAUCAGAGGAAAGAAUCCAGCCAUGAUUACUUAGACCUUCCAUGCCUUGAAUCUCCAUUAAAUCUGAACACCUAUACAGAGAUAGAUUUUCAUUUUCUUUUAACUGGAUUGGCAGUCUUACUCUUUCCAUUGAUGUGCAACCGAUUGCAUCCAAGAAUUUUAAAUUUGAGGGAAGCUCUGAGAUUGAUACAAGAUUGCUGCAAUUAUGAACUCUCAAAACCCCCAGCUUAGGAAGGACGCUGAUGCCAUAAGGCAGACUGAAGAAUUUGUUUCCUGAUAGAUUCAAUUCUUCAAGAGAGGACAAACCACCAAAAUCAACACAAUUAAGUGAGCCUUCAGACAAACCAUAAUAAGCAAGUCUUAGUUUUCUCAAUAAUCUCCAACCAGUGAAAGAAGUUGGCAGUAUAGCUUUCCAAUCUAAAACACUUGCUGACAUCCAUGAUGAAAUUGGUGAAGGCCAGGAUGGAGAUGAUGGUGCGUCCAGAUUGAAAUUGUAUCCGCACAAUGACAACUUCCUUACAUACUUUAAAUGUUCAAUUGAAGAUAAAAAUUGCUCAUUCUCAAUUCCAUCCGCUAACAACUCAAUAAAGGAUUCAAUAUCACACAAGUGCUCCGGCAACUUCUCAAGGUGUGAACACCCCGAAAUAUUCAAACUUUCAAGAGAUUUUACCUCACAAAUGUUUUCAGGAAGAAUCUUUAGCCUCCAACAUCCCUUCAGAUUUAAGAAAAUGAGUCUCUUCAAAUGUCCAAUAGAUUGAUGCACCUCAACCAAACUCGAGCAACCUUCAAGCAUGAGUUUUUCUAAACUUGAAUUGUGCAAGUUUGGUGUUUUAACAAGGUGCUUUGAAUAACUGAGAUUAAGGAUUUUCAGCUUGUUGAGAAUCUGUAAGAGCAAUGAGGAGAACAACAAAAACUAAUCAUCAAAAGUUCUAACUUGAAAAUAUAAACAACAAAUUUUGGAGGACUGUAGUAUGUUUCGCACCUUUUUUUCCUUCCAAAAUUCUUUGAUGUUACUAUACUGCAUAUCAAGAACAACUAGGUUGUCCAACAAUAAAUCGGAUGGAAAAGAUUUUAAAGCACAUUCAAGCCAACAAAUCCAUAUCAACUCUUCAGAAAGCAGGUUGAAGGGUCCAGUGAGAUGUACUCCAUUGAUUUGGAGUAACUUCAAGCAUCGCAUAUUUGUAAAUGAUCCCGUGCUCAGUGAUUUAUCUUCUGAUGCUCUCGCAUCCAGCAUUAGACCCUCCACAACUUCCGUUCCCUAAAAAAGCAACAAAAUUCAGUAGAACUUCUAAAUAAUUAUAAGCAAAACUUUUGAAAAGAAAGAUACACGUGCAUGAUUGUGCUUUUGUGUAUGCAUUUAGUAAUUACCAUCUGCUUGCUGAGUACAUUCCAUGCAUCCUUACGUUGCCAAAUUCGGCUGUGUUUUCCAGGGUGGUCUGGUGGCUCUUUAUGAAUGAUCUCCCUUCCCAUGUCUCUCAAUAGAUCAUGCAUGCCUAUCAUUCCAGAAGCAUUAACUUUAAUCAAAGACCUUUCACUGAGAAUUCCCAAAUCAUCUUCUGGAUUGUAACCACAACGGGCUUCUAGUACAUUUGCGAUGUAGUCUUUAUUUCUACCAAUAAAAAAGCAUGCAAUAUCAAGAAAUGUAUUCUUUAGUUUAUGGUCAUCAAGUGUGUCAAAACUUAUUCUAAGUUUUUUCUGAAUUUCACGAUUUGAAAUUUUUCUCAACUUGUCAAUUACACAUUUCCAUCUAGAUUUGUUUUUCCCGGACAAACAAGAACCUAAAACCUCAAGGGCUAAAGGAAGCCCUCCACAGUAAUCAACUAUAUCAUUCAAAAGCUCAACAUAAUCUUUUGUUGGCUUGCUAUCCCCAAAGGCAUGCCAACUGAAAAGCUGAAGGGACUAAUACUGUUUCAAUUCUUCGACCUGAUAUGUUCAAUCCGCUUUAAGAAGCAAGCGUUCAUCUUUAGUUGUAAUUAUUACACUACUCCCGGGACCAAACCAGCUUCGCUCUCCCAUCAAAGCAUUUAGUUGCUUCAAAUGAACCACAUCAUAAAAAACAACAAGAACUCUUUUGUGACAAAUUCGUUCCUUGAUGAGAACCAUUCCUCUAUCAACAUUAUUGAUAGUUCCAGCAUUUUGUUUUAAAAUAUCAUGAAGAAUAUGUUCUUGUAAAAGAACAAGACCAUUCGAUUGUUCUGAUGUCUCAUUGAUAUUCAAAAGAAAACAGCUUCCCUCAAAUCCAUAGCAGAGUUGAUUAAAUACAACUUUUGCUAUAGUCGUCUUUCCUAUUCCUGGCAUCCCAUGUAUGCCCACAAUGCGAACGUCAUCUGUCGCAGCACUUAGGAAGUCACUAAUAGUAUGGACAAGGCGAUCAAUACCUACUAGGUGAGUAGCAACAUUUAGGUUCUUGGGAUCCAAUUUAUUCAACACAUCCUUGACAAUCACUAGGAUAAAUUUUGAUUCGUGGCUGUUCAUUGACAAAAGCAACUCAUUAAUAGAGAGACAAUUAAGUAUGCUAAAAAAAUAUUUUGUUGUUUCACAUGGUAAAAUCUAAUGUAUAAUUACUCCAUAAAUGCAUACGAGUGAAUCUUAGAGAGAAAUGUCAUACCCAUUUUCCAUAUCAUUGAGAUUCCAUCCACUUAGAUUUCCAGCCUCCUCAAGAGCUUUUCUCCAUUCCUUCACCUUCUCUUUAAAACGUUCUUCAUGGCUAUCAAAUGCUUUUGCAAAACUGCCAGUCUGUUUUCUCACAUCUGAAGGAUCAAUGUCAUAGAAUAUAGGAAGAACAAUCUGACUAGUUUUCCUGCUUUUGCACUCAAGAAUCUCCACAAGUUCAUUAAGACACCAUCUAGAAGAAGCAUAUCCUUUUGAGAGCACCACUAUAUAUAUCUUUGAUUCUUGAAUUGCCUUGAGGAGAUUUUUGGAGAUUUUUUCACCUCUAGGAAUUUCAUUAUGAUCUCGAAAAGUGAGGAUCCCUGCUUGGACUAAGGCAAUAUAUAGAUGAUCUAUAAAAUUCUUGUGAUUAUCUUCUCCUCUAAAACUCAGAAAUACAUCAUGUUGGAAGUUAAGCUGAUUACUUGUUGUUAAAGCUUCAGAAGUAAAUCCUGUGGUGAUAACGAGAAGAAUGAAGAAUGGACGAAUAAUGAAUUAAUAGAAGAAGAGUCUGUUACAAUAGUUAAAAAACAGUUAAAGUAGUUAUAGCUGUUAUAACUAUUUUUUCUGUUACAAACCGUUUCUUACAUGUGUAAGAAUCGUAGCCCUCAAUCAAUGAAUGGUUGAGAUGAAUUGAUUCCUAAAGUCUAGAAUUCUAUUAUUGAUUACAUAAAAAAAAAAGUGUAUAAAAGCAGAGUUCUACACUAAUGGAACUGUAAGAAAAAUACAAAGGAAAUUCAAGAAUUCUUCUCAUCUUCUUCUCUGCAAACUUUUCUUUUAAUAAUCUGAAAAUAUACAUGGUAUCACAGCUCACAAACUGAUUCCUAAGAGGGGCGUAAACUGUGAAAAACAGAUUGAUUAAAUUGUUAAUUACUCAAAAAAUGGUAGGAUUAAGCUCAGCUGGAGGAGAUUUAAGAACUCCACAGUUUAAUGGCACAAAUUAUGAUCUUUGGGCUGUAAAAAUGGAAACAAUACUAAUAGCAUUUGAUAUAUGGGAAGUAAUAUAAGUUGGAAUAAAAUCUCAUCAAUCACCUGAGAUUACAGCUGGAUCAGGCGAUGAAGAGAGUGAAGCUGAGCAAAGUACAUUGCAUGCAUCCACGACAUCCAGAGAAGAAAAAAUCAAGAAUGCAAAGGCGUUAAGCCUCAUACAAGGAGCAUUAACAGACGAUCUUUUCCCACGUAUAAGAAUGAGAAGACUGCAAAAGGAGCUUAGGACAUCUUGAGCAGAGAAUUCAAAGGAGAUAAAAAGGUUAGAGCUGUAAAACCUCAAGCAGUGAGAGAUGACUUUGAAUACCUAAGAAUGGCAGAUAGUGAAAGCUUAGAUGGAUAUCUAGCUAAAUUCUUUGCAACUAUGAAUAACCUGAAAUCGUUAGGAGCAGAUGUAUCAGAAAAUAGAAUUGUGCAGAAACUCCUAAUGAGUCUAAGCAGAAGAUAUAAGUCCAUUGUGUCAAUCAUUGAGGAGACACGAGAUCUUGAUGUUCUGAGACCAGAAGAAGUCAUUGCUUCUGUUAAAGUUUAUGACAAGAGGAGGAUCUACAUGAUGAAAGGGAUAAGCUAACAGGAACAGAGAAAGCAUUUAGCAGUUUAAAGAUUGGAAACAAUCAAGCCUACAGCUCACACAAGGGUUUCCAAGGCAGACCCCCUCAAAGAUGGCAAUCACAGGACAUGAGAGGACCAAAUUCAUUUCCAAUCAGGAACGGAACCAACUAUAAUAAUUCAAGCUGGAACAACACUGCUUAUGGAAGUAGUCAAGUGGGUGUAAAGCCACAAUGCCAAGUCUGCUAGAAGCAACACUUUGGAUUAUGCAGACACAAAGGAAAGCCAAGAUGUGGAAGAUGCAACCGGUUUGGUCAUAUUGCAAAGAUUGUGAAAGUCACAGUCACAAACAACUUGCAAAUUAUGCUAAAGAAGAAAGAGUCACCACUGGAACCAUGUUCUAUGCUUGCCAUUCUGCAAGACAAAAGGUAUGGUUUAUGGAUAGUGCCUGCAGCAACCACAUGACUUCUCAAGAAUCUGAACUAAUCAACAUUGAUAGAACAGUAACCUGCAAAGUAAAGAUGGGAUCAGAAGACCUUGUGAAGCAACUGGAAAAGGUACAUUGGUUGUGGAAACUCAGCAUGGGAAAAGAUACAUAAAAGAGGUAUUGCUUGUUCCUGGAUUGGAUGAAAACUUACUAAGUGUAGGCCAGAUGAUGGAGCAUGGUUAUUACAUUCUGUUUGGAGGUAACAAAGCAGUAAUAUUUGAUGAUGAAAGUCUCAACAAUGUUAUAGCAAUAGUGAUCAUGGGAGGAAAUCGAUGCUUCCCACUUUCACUUGAGUCCAUCACACCCGCAGCAAGAAAAGCUUCAGUGACUGAGGAUUCCUGGAUAUGGCAUAGAAGACUGGGACACUUGAAUUUUGCCAGCAUGAAGAAGAUGCAGCAGAAAGAGAUGGUAUGUGGGCUUCUUGUUUUGACUGAAGUAGAAGAUGUUUGUGCAGGCUGUGCAUCAGGCAAACAUCACAGGGAGAAAUUCAACAAAGAGCAAGCGUGGAGAGCAAGCUAUCCACUGGAACUCAUCCACACUGAUUUGUGUGGACCAAUGCAGAAUGAAUCUGUGGAGGGAACAAAUACUUCAUCACAUUCAUUGAUGAUUACUCAAGAAUGUGUUGAGUAUACUUCCUCAGAAACAAAUCUGAUGCACUCAAUGUGUUCAAGAAAUUCAAAGCAUUCGUUGAGCUGCAAAGUGGAUAUAAACUGAAGGAGCUGAGAAGUGACAGAGGUGGUGAAUAUACUUCAAAUGAGUUUGAAGAAUUUUGUGUAAAACAAGGAAUGGAGAGGCAGCUGACAAUUGCAUACUCUCCUUAACAAAAUGGAGUUGCAGAGAGGAGAAACAGAACAAUUUGUGAAAUGGCAAGGUCCAUGCUGAUAGAAAAAGAAAUGCCAGUAAUCUUCUGGGCAGAAGCUGUGAAUACAACUGUGUAUAUUCAAAAUAGAUGUUAUACAACAUCAGUUAUCGAAAAGACUCCAUUUGAAGCCUUCACGGGUAGAAAGCCAGGAGUCAAGCAUCUAAAAGUCUUCGGUUGCUUAUGCUACACUCAUAUCCCACCAUCACUAAGGCAGAAAUGGGAUAGCAAAACUGGAAAGGGAGUGUUUGUUGGAUAUGGCAGCUGUGAGAAAGGGUAUAGAAUAUAUGACUUGAAAACUGAGAAGAUUGUUCUCUCAAGAAGUGUGAUUUUCAGUGAAUAUAGAGUAUGGAGUUGUGAAAGAAAUUGAUGAGCCCAAGUCACUUGUCUUUCACUCUUGAAGAAGGUGAAGUUGGAGGUGAAAAUUCUGAGGAACACUUUGCUGCAGUCCAACCCGAUGAUGUUGAAAAAUGCAAUCAAAAUUCUACAGUUGGAGAGUUAGCUGAGAAUAUUGACAGUAAUAGCAGUCAACAAUCUUCACCUAGCUCUACUCUAGUAAAAUUGAAAACCUUGGAAGAGAUAUAUGCAAGGUGUCACAUGUGCAUCAUAGAACCUGAUAAUUAUCAAGAAGCUUCUGGAGAAAAGCCUGGCAGGAGGCUAUGAAGGAAGAAUUGGAAGUGAUAGAGAAGAACAAUACUUGGGAAUUGGUGGAGAGACCUAUUGAUAAACCUGUGAUAGGAGUGAAAUGGGUGUACAAAACUAAGCUGCAUCUUGAUGGAACAAUUCAAAACACAAGGCUCGACUUGUAGCAAAGGGAUACGCAUAGAAAUCUGGAAUUGAUUACAAUGAAACCUUUGCACCAGUAGCAAGGUUAGACACAAUUCAAACCCUGAUUGCACUUGCAGCACAAAAGGGGUGGAAGUUGUUUCAAUUGGAUGUCAAGUCAGCAUUCCUAAAUGGUGUAUUGAAAGAAGAAGUGUAUGUUGAGCAGCCUGAAGGUUUUCUUGUAAAGAAUGCAGGACACAAAGUUUACAAACUGAGGAAGGCAUUAUAUGGACUAAAGCAGGCACCGAGGGCCUGGUACAGUGAAAUUGAUGCAUACCUCUCUAUGUGCAAAUUCAAAAGGAGCACAAGUGAGGCUACUUUGUAUACAAGGUCUGAUCGAGAAGGUAACUUAAUCAUUGUUUCAAUCUAUGUUGAUGAUAUUGUAUAUACUUGCAGUAGUGAAAGAAUGCUUAGUGAAUUCAAAAGAGAAAUGAUGCAGAGAUAUGAGAUGUCUGAUCUUGGACUUCUUCAUCAUUUUUUGGGCAUGGGAAUACUGCAAACUGAUCAAAGAGUAUUCAUCCAUCAAAGCAAGUAUGCAAAGUCCUUGCUUAAGAAGUUUGGGCUUGAGGACUGUAAACCAGUCUCUAUUCCUUUGGUCACUGGUGAGAAACUGAAGAAGGUGGAUGGGUGAGUUGGCUGAUGAAGGCCUUUAUAGGAAAAUAUAUUUGACAGCAACAAGACCUGAUCUGAUGUAUGCUGCAAGCUUACUAUCACGGUUCAUGACUGGAGCUACCAAAAUUCACAUGGGAGCUGCAAAGAGAGUCCUAAGAUAUGUGCAAGGAACUCUAAGCUAUGGGAUUGAAUAUGUAAGGGAUCAAUCAGCAACUCUUAUUGGAUUUUGUGAUGCAGAUUGGGCAGGAAGUGAAGAUGACAGUAGGAGCACCUCUAGUUAUGCAUUCAGUUUUGGAAGUGGAGCAUUCUCUUGGGCUUUUGUGAAACAGAACACAGUGGCAUUAUCAACUGCAGAAGCUGAGUAUGUCUCAGCAUCUGAAGCAACAACUCAGGCAAUUUGGUUAAGAUUUGUUCUUGAUGAUUUUGGUGAAAUGCAAGCCGAAGCAACAACCUUGUUCUGUGACAACAUGUCAGCAAUUUCAAUGGCUAAAAAUCCUGUUUUUCAUCAAAGAACUAGACACAUAAACAAGAAGUAUCAUUUCAUAAGAGAGGCUCUGCAAGAGGGAGUAAUAAAUAUGAAAUUCUGCAAAAGUGAAGAACAACUUGCAGACAUUUUCACAAAGGCAUUGCCUAAAGACAGAUUCAAGCAAUUAAGAUUGAAUCUUAGAGUUAAACCAGUAAGCAGCUUAGGAGAGGCUGUUGGAAGUUAAGCUGAUUACUUAUUGUUAAAGCUUCAGAAGUAAAUCCUGUGGUGAUAACAAGAAGAAUGAAGAAUGGACAAAUAAUGAAUUAAUAGAAGAAGAGUCUGUUACAAAGCAGUUACAGCAGUUAAAAAACAGUUAAAGUACUUAUAGCUGUUAUAACUGUUUUUUCUGUUACAAACCGUUUCUUACAUGUGUAAGAAUUGUAGCCCUCAAUCAAUGAAUGAUUGAGAUGAAUUGAUUCCUAAAGUCUAGAAUUCUGUUAUUGAUUACAUAAAAAAAAUGUGUAUAAAAGCAGAGUUCUACACUAAUGGAACGGUAAGAAAAAUACAAAGGAAAUUCAAGAAUUCUUCUCAUCUUCUUCUCUGCAAACUUUUCUUUUAAUAAUCUGAAAAUCUACACAUCAUAGGCCCCUUUUGGUCUAGAUCGAGAAGAUUUUGGCUCUGUCAUGGAAGCUGCAGAAAUUAUGACACAAUAAAUUAGCAAUGCAGUAAUGAAUUGGAGAAGGAAUAUGCUUUCUUGUAAUUACUAGCAAGGAAUGCAUGUAAGGCGAUCACCAGAGGCAAUACAUAUGAAUGUGCUGAGAUAGAACUUUCACAGAAACAAAUGGAUUGAUGAUAUUUGUCAGUGGAGUUCUUCAUUUCUGACCAUUGUUCAACACUUCCAUUAUUUAUCAGUGGAGUAUCAGUAAGUCAAAAGAUAUUUGCUAGGAUAUUCCAAAAUUUAGUGUUCUUUCAUUUAUUGAUUACCAGGCAGAUUCAAUAGACAAUAAAUUACAUGAGAACACUCAUGGGUACAUUAGAUAGGACUGAAUCAGACCAAGAACUCCAACAAACAAACCCUUUGUCUUUCUCCUUCCACUAAAUAUGCAAAAACAUCUUUAUCCCAAUCAGUGACCACAUCAUUGUCAUGUCACCUGACGCGUCACCCGCCACAUGUCAGGACACACCAUCUACCAUAUCAUCUACCAAAUCUCUAUCGGCCACGUCAUUAGUGGAAUGCAAGAAGCAUGAGGUUACAUGCUGGGCUACCCCCAUCAUUUUGGUCCGGAGUACUUGUUAAUACUACAAUCUACUUGAUCAAUCAAUGACCUUCUAUUCCUAUAAAUUUUAGAAUUCCAGAAGAGGUUUGGACAGGAAAGGAUGUAAAACUUUCACACUACAAAGUAUUUGGUUGUGUUUCUUAUGUACACAUAGAUUCUGAAGCUAGAAGCAAGCUUGAUCCAAAGUCUAGAAAAUGUAACUUUAUUGGAUAUGGAACUGAUGAGUUUGGAUAUCGGUUUGGGAUGAGAAAAAUUAAAAAAUUAUCAAAAGUAAAAAUAUCAUAUUCAAUAAGAAGGUGAUGUACAGGGAUAAGGGUGCAGCAGAUUCAGGUAGGCCUAAACCAGAAACAAAGACAGCUGAGGUAGUUGAUAUGGAUGAUAUUGUUGAAAGCAUUGUGCAAAAUAAUGGUCAAAAGACUCAAAACAAAGAAAAUGUUGAUCCAUAUAUAGAGCCAUAGACUCUAGUAACGAUAGUCAGAAGAUCUUCCAGAACUAUCAGACCUCCAUAAUGUUUCUCACCAUUAUUGAAUUACAUCUUGUUGACACAGAUAAUGGUGAGCCACAAAAUCAUGAUGAAGCCAUGCAAGUUGAAGAAUCAAGGAGGAAGGAGUCGGCUAUGAAAGAUGAAAUGGAUUCCUUGUUAUGGAAUCAGACAUAGGAGCUAUCUGAACUACCUAUAGGAAAGAAAGCUUUGCAUAAUAAAUAGGUGUAUAAGAUAAAAGAAGAACACGACGGUAGCAAAUGCUACAAAGUAAGACUAGUCGUGAAGGUAUUUUUAACAAAAAUAAGGUAUUGACUACACAUAUAUCUUUUCUCUUGUGGUGAAACUUACAACAAUUAGAUUGGUCCUGGGAAUUAUAGCUGCAGAAGAUCUACAUCUUGAGCAGUUAGAUGUGAAGACUGCUUUCCUUCAUAGAGACUUAGAGGAAGAUAUUUACAUGAAGCAGCCUGUGGGUUUUUUAGAAAAAGAAAAGGAGAAUAUGGUUUGUAAGCUGACAAGGAGUUUGUAAGGCUUGAAACAAGCUCCUAAGCAAUGGUAUAAGAAGAUUGACAACUUUAUGUGCAAUAAUGGGUUCAUGCGACUGCAAGCAGACCAUUGUUGUUAUAUGAAGAAUUUUGACGACUCCUGUAUCAUCUUAUUGCUAUAUAUGGAUGAUGUGCUAAUUGCCGGAUCUAGUAUCUAUGAGAUCAAUAAGUUAAAUUAAGAAGCAUUGAAAUAAAGGAUUUGGGAGCAGCAAAACAAAUCCUUAAUAUGAGAAUCACCAGGGACAGAGCUAAUGCAUGGUACCCUAAAGCUUUCACAAGAAGAGUAUGUUAAAUGACACGACCAAAAGAUUGAUGUCUUCUCCCAAGUGCAAGAGCGUCGAAGUAAUAAAUAACCCGGCAAGACCGGGGUCGAACCACAGGGAGGUUAACUAUAUAAACUAUAAACAACAACAACAACAAUAAUAAUAAGAUCAAGAGAGCUUUGGGAUGUGAUAUUGAUGUAAGGAUUAAACAAGCAUAAAAUAAUUAUCAAGGUUAGAGGAUCCACUAAUGGUACUUCAAACAAGUAUAAUAUAAACUCUUUUUAUUACUCAACUGGAAACCACACACAAAGGAGGUUCCAAUCGGAUUGUAAAUUGUUAACUUGAUUACAUUAGUUAUCUUAUUCGAAUAAUGAUAAUACUUGUAAAUGUUGUUAGGCAUUCAUGAUUAUAACUUAUGUUAACAACAAAUCAAGUUCCUUUCAUAGCUCAGGUGUCGGUUAUACCAUACAAUAUGGGCUAUGAAAGUGCCAAGUAUUUGUUGUGCCAAGUGUUAUGCAACAUAAAUCUAGAUUAACCAUUUAAUAAGCAAAGUAUUAAAAGUGAACAAGAUAACAAAUAUAAAACAUGUUAGUAUCCAACAUUAAGGUCCAUGUUAAGUUUAUAUUAUACUUAUUCUUACACCAUUAGUGUACCCUUUUCACCUUGACAUAAUUAACUUAGCUAAACAUAAUGAAUGAAAGAAACAUAAAUGAACAAGAUAAGAACAUAAAUGAGAAAGAAGUUAACUAAAUAAAGAAAAGGAAAUGAAGUGUAUAAACUUGAUAUUAAUAAAAGCAAAACAUAAGCAAUACAAAGAGAGAAAGCAAGAGCAUGAUCUUGAUCUAGAAACCAAGAUGCCUCAAUACAUGGUAAAUGCCUCCUUUUAUAGGCCAAAAUUUGGAACUAUUGAUUUGUUGACUAAUUGAUGAGUGGGUGGCCACAUCUUGACUUGGUAACAAUUCUUAUUCUUCUUGUCUGAACAAAACAUCAUUGCUGACAUCAUAAUUUGAAUAGAAUUUCCAUAAAACUUCUAGGAAAUUGUCUCAGCUUUCCAACAAAAAAAAGAUGAGGUCAUUUGAACUUCUAAAACUCAAGAUAUGGGCUGAACACUGAACAGUGUCUAGGCUGCAGGACAGAUUCAGACUUCUUUGUUGUUCCAACAAUUUGGACUUCAAAAAGGCCUUUUUAAUUCUUGGGUUCCACAUGAAAGUUGUAGGCCUAUGUUUUACCUUUCCAUCCAUAUAAAGUGGACCUAACUCCGAGAUCUAGAGCUCCAGAUAUGAUCCAAUUACCGAGCAAUGUUCCGGUUUGGACUGCACCAGGAUCUCCUUUCUAAGUUUGGCCAUCUCUUUGUCCUUUCACUUUCAAUACUUAAACUCAUCAAUCAAUCCUUUCAUUUAUGUGUUAAGCCUGCAUUUAAGAUAAACAUUUACCAUAAAUUAAAGGUAUCUUAUAUUAUUAGAUAUGUUAUUAUAAAACAUGCUUAAGUUAAGGAGUUAUUGAUACUUCAAGUGCAAAAUGAUGAUAUAAAACCUUGAUAAACAUGAGCAUAGUUCCUUGUGCAUCAGCAAUCAUAAGUCUUAUGUAUGCCAUGGUUUGUACAAGAUCAGACAUUGCAUAUGCAGUGGGAGCUUUGAGCAGAUACAUGAGUAAUCCUGGCAAACAACACUGGGAAGUGGUAAAAUGGAUUUUAAGAUAUCUGAAAGGUUCUUCAGAUAUACCUCUUUGUUUCACAAAUUCAAACUUGAAGCUUCAAGGUUAUGUGGAUGUCAUUUCGCCAGUGCUAUUGAUAGUAGGAAAAACACUAUAGGGUUUGUGUAUGCUGUUGCUACCCAAUUUUUAACCCAUGUUUUUGAUAAAUUUUUCAAAAAAUCCAAAAAUAGAGAAAAACAAUGAAAAUCCAAAAAAUAUGUUUUUUAUAUAUAUUCUCGUCAUUUUAGCAUUUUCAGCGUCGUCUAGAAAAAAAAAAAUUUAAUUUUCAAAAGAUUUUUAAACGCGUUCGACUUUUCACGCGUCAUUUUUAAAAGCAUUGAUUUUCCUCAUUAAGUCGACGUUGAUAUUGCUCGUUUUCAAAAAAUACAAAAAAAUAAGAAAAAUCAAAAUUUACAAAAAAAAAAAAAAGUUGAGGGACCAAGUUGAAAAACCUAGCAACAUUUUGCAUAUAAAUACUGGUUUCCUCAACACAUUCAAGGAGGGCGGACAAUUUUGUAAAGAGGGGAGAAACACAAAAACCCUAAACUUAUCUCUACCCAAAGGUAGCCGCCGGAGCCCCCAGCCCCUUUGAUUUUUUUUUUCUCUUCUUUCUUCCCCCACACACGGCAAAAAACAGCCCCCAAACCCCCUGGUUUAUUUUUCUUCUUCCUCUUCUCCAGCCGGCUGGCCAAGCCCCAUCGCCGGUCUUCUUCCCUCUCGGCCGCCCCUUCAAUCCUCCACACCGUAGCCCCAUCUCCUUCUUCCUUUUGAGAAACAAACAAAGAAAACAGCCCCCCCGGUCAUUUUCGUUUCUCUUCUCCCCAGUAACAGCCACAAAUCUGCCCUCUCCCACCUGAAAAAGCCACGGCCUCCACCGCAGCUUCAGCAGCCCCAGACCUACGGUCUCCGUUCGACCUCCAGCAGCGGCGGUCAGAGAAAUCGACCACGAGCAGCGCCACAGAACGACCUCAUCCCCACUGACCAGAGGACAGGCGGAGCCGCUCCUCUCUCAGUAGACCCAUCGGCCUCCCUCUCCGGGUCAACGAACCGCUGACCACAACAGCUGGCCACAGACCCGAUCUCCUCAGCACCGCCACCGGUCUCCUCCUUCAACCGACCACCCACAACUCCCCCUUACAACCUCCGGCCACCUGAAACAGAAGAGGAGGAAACCGAAAUAAUAUGCAGAGAUGAGCAGAUCUGAAAAUGAGAAGGGAGAGAAGCAAAUCUAAACUAAAAAUGGGUUAAAAUCGACUGUUUGUUGGGUUUUCGUGCUUUUGCAGGUGACGGUGGGUGUCACCGUCGGCGAGGAAAGGAAGGAGGAGGGAAGCCGAACCAGAUCCCUCUGUCUCCAGUUACUGGCGGCGGCGGCGCGUGGAGGAGACGCGCCGCCCCUGUUUUCAAAUCCAGAAGCCUGCGAACACUGUUCCCGUGGCUGCAUUGUACCUGAUUCUAGUUUUUAGGGUUUAUUUUUUAAUUUUUAAAUUAAUUAAUGUAAUUUUUAUAUAUUUAUUUUGAAUUUGUAUUUGUAUUGUGGAUGUAAAGGAAAGAAAAGGAAAAGAAACAAAAAUAGUGGAAAGUGUAUGUGUGUGUUUGUAUUUUGUUUGUAUAUUUUUUAAUGAUAAAAUUGCAAAUAUAUUAAAGAAGAAUUUAAUAUUUUGAUCGGAUCACGGUUAAGAAUUAUUAACUUAUACGUAAGUGAUAUUUCUAAUUUCCGAUGAAAAGACAAUUAUUAAAACUUCUUUAACACAUCAAAUUCGCGAAGCAGCUUACCUCAGGUAGGGUGCGUUAGGGGUGCUAAUACCUUCCCUAACCACAACCAGUCCCUUAUCCGCGAAUCUCUGACACGACCAGUACAUCCGGUUUCCUAGUAGCCUUUAAUAAAUUACUAGGUGGCGACUCCCAACGAAUUUAAAGCAAACGCAACAAUGAGCAACAACGAGAAAAAUCACCAACCGAUGCCGCGCGGAUUUUUCGACGUGCGACUUAUACUUUGGGUAAUACAGUUGUAUAUUGGGCUUCGAAGCUACAAAAGAUUGUUGCUCUAUCUAUAAUUGAAGUUGAAUAUGUAGCUGUAACUGAAGCUGGAAAGGAGAUGGUUUGGUUACAAAGCUUCUUGGAUGAAUUAAGCAAGAAGCAUCAUAAAGGCACUAUACAAUGAUAGUCAGAGUGUUGUUUUUCUUGCAAAAAAUCCAGCCUUCUAUUCCAGGACAAAACACAUAUAGUUGAGAUUUCAUUUCAUUCGCUCUAAUGGUCAGUUGACAGUUGAGAAGAUUCGAGGAAGCAAAAAUCCUGCUGAUAUGCUUACAAAAGAGGUAACGAUAGAGAAACUGAAGUUGUGCAAAGCUUCAAUUGGUCUUCAAGGAUAGAAGACAGGUGAGAUGCCUUUUGUCUCUAAGCGGGAGAUUGUUGAUUAAUGGAGAACAAAAGGCACACCCCACCCACUUCUUGUCUAGCUAGCUAGAAGUGGGAUGCCUUUUGUCUUCAAGUGAAAGAUUGUUAAUUUUGGAAUUUCUGGAAUAUAAUAGUUAGCUGGUGGGUUCUUUUAUGAUGCAUACCUCAUUCCAUGGAUGAUUGUUUCAACAAUGGCAGGGAUUGAUUGAUGGAAAGUUUCAGCGUAAGGUGUGGCAAGGAUUUUUCCAUGGAAUAAUCUGGCUUAUUUGGCAUACUAGGAAGAACAUAUUUGAAACUAUCAUUUCAGAUUGGGAAUAUGUUCUGUCUUUUCUUUCACAAGGUUGCAUCUAGGAUUCGUUCUUAUUGUAAUGUUUUCAUAAUACUGGUAUGGAUCUGUUAAGAAAUAGGAAGAGGUUAUAACAAUGUUAGCGGGUGGGCGCCAUCUGCGCCAUUCGGUGGCGUAUGCUACCCCAGAACAAAAUCAAGAGUCUCUUUACAAGGUGUCUUUCGAUGCACCUUGUCACCCCAAGCAUAAUGGUAAGGCACAUAUGCUGAGAAGGUUCAUGAAAGAGCUCCAAAUAGGGUUUUUUUCCUCCCUCCUUUCCUACCCUCUCUCCUUAUGAAAAAUUAUGGUACCCAUUGCAAAAAAAAAAAAGUUAGACAUGAUUAUCAGACCCAAGUAACGUGGGUCUGACAUGUUACCAAGCCCAAGUAAGAGUCGGCCAGUAACGUUUGUCAGACCCAAGCUAGCUUGGGUCAAACACCUUUGAUUAUAAUUAUUGAAUAAUAGGUCUGACAACCACACCACACCCAAAUAGCAUAGUUUUAAGACCCGGCCCGGUCCAAAGCCAUGGGUUCCAGUUUUUGACCAGGUCGGUCGGGUCAAUUUUUUUUUUUAAUUCAAAAUAACAUAGUUUUAGUAAAAAAAAAAAAACAAAGUCAACGGGCUUACAACCGGGUUUUGCCAAGUCAACCGAGUCACCGGGUUAACCCGCCUAGUCAUGCCAAAUUUUUCCUUCCCCUGUUUUUUCUUCAACCUGGCUCGGAUCCAGCCCUGGGGCGGCUGGGUCCCAAGUCGACCCACCGGGCCCUUCAAAACUAUGGACCCAAGCCACUUGGGUUUGACACCAUUACCAGACUUAGGGUCUUUCACUUUGGUAGACCCAAGCGACUAAGGUCUGGCACCUCCUAUGCCAGACCUAAUUACCUCUUCAUCCUUUCAUUUUUUUCAAUUAUCUCUCAUUGGUCAUUAUAGUUUUAAAUUUUAAAACAUCUACUUUAUGUUUUAAAAAAAUUUCAAUUUGAAAAAUAGCUAAGUUUUUACUAAUCCGAUUAGAGAACUUAUUCUUAGCUUUAUUGGGGUGACAAUCUUUUAUCAUAGUCAUGAAACCUUGGAUCAUUAGAUUAUCAGGUGUUCAUGUUAUUUUUUUUUAUUAAAAUAAUAUUUUCUUUCUUUUCAAUAAAACCAACCCAAACCCAAAUACCCUAGGUUUGAUAACCAUGCUAGACCUAAGAUAGUUGGGUCUAGAAAACAAGUCAGAUCCAAGUGACUUGGGUCUAGCAAGCACGUCAGGCCCAAUCAUCUUGGGUUUGAUAUGUAAUGUGAGUCUGACAUUAUUGCUAGGCCCAUAUAAACAUGAAUAACCCUCAUGAUUAUAGAAAAUUACACCAAAAACAAUUUGAAAGAAUAAAAAUACUCACAUAUGCAAAGCUUAUUUUUUAUUUUUUCAAGGUUAAAAAUAUAUUUUAACUAUUUAAUAUUGACUUGGGUCUGACAUGGUUUCUAGACCCAAGUAUCUUGGGUUUGCAACAUUGGGUUUGCCCAGACCUAAGUGCCAGACCCCUACGCCAUACCCAAUUACCUCUUCAUUCUUUUGUUUUCUUUGAUUAUCUAUCUUUGGUUAAGUCUAGCAAUAGUGUUAGACCCAAGCAACUUGGAUCCAGUAAGCCGAAAGCGACUUCGGUCUGCCACCCAUGCCAAACCUAAGUAUCUUGGGUCUGGCAAGUUAUGGCAGACCUAAGCGUCUUGAGUCUCGCAGUCAUGCAAGAUCCAAGGUCCUUGGGUCUAGGGUGGCUGCCAAACCUUAAGUAUUUGGGCCUGACACCCACAUCUGAUCCAAGUUACUUGGAAAAUACUCCAACUUGCAGUGGAGCAUGGGCAAAUAUGCUAGUCUUAAACUAAAAAAGAGAUGGAAGGAACUUAACUGAAUGAUGUAAACAUAAAAGCUUUGGCAAGUGUUUUUUUUUUUUUUUUUUUUUAUGAAAUCAAAGUUAUUUGUGAAGAAAUGAAAUUAAAACAAGAAAGACGCGAGGAAGAUUUACUAGCAAAAACAUGACAGCAUAAAGUCCCAUAUCUAACAAUUAUUUUCUUUGGCAAUCUUCUAAUUAGUGUUAAUAUUGCUGUAAACAUGAAAACAAAAACGACUACAUGCUAGAUGUUAAUGAUGUUAGAUGAUCAAUGAAUAAUUUUGUGCAUCUAGGAAAGAAAACGAUUACAUGCUACACGAUAAUAUUGUUAGAUGGCCAAUGAAUAAUUUUUAUUGUUAUACUCUCAGCACGACAUAUUUCUACCUUACCUGUGGAGACAAAACUGACAGGCUUACUGAGGUCUACUUUUCUUCUCCUUCGCGAGGAUGAAUCGUUUUCUUCAUCUUUGGAUUGCUUACGUUUUUCCUUCUGCAUUCUAAAAUAGAAGAAAGUUGUCAAUGAUAUGUAUGAACGUAAAGCUUUCAAAUUAUUGUUUUGAGUAGAGGCAUGAAAUUGAAACAAGAAAGAAGCAAAAGAAGAGGUUAGUUAUACCUCUGUAUAACGAAAGGGUUGGUUGGAUUCCACCAGCUAUGAAAUUGUAGCGAUCUGAGAGAGAUGUUAGCUGAUCAAUACGGGCUUCUAAAAGUAACAAUUAUUUUCUCUGGCAAUCUUCUUAGUGUCAAUAUUGCUGUCAUGCAAAAACUAAUAUUGCUGAGAAGAAGAAAACAAAGAAAACUACAUGCAUGCAAUCUGUAGCAACAAUCUCACUGUUUACCUCUUUACGGUGUUUAUGAGGUGGUCAGAUUCCACCAACUUGAUGACUUUAAAGAUCAAAUUGCAGCAAUCGGAAAGGUUAGCUGAUCAAGAGUAAAGUACUGAAGCCUGAAGACUAGUACAGCCAAUAUUGUUACAGAGACAGAAUAUGAGUUCUUGCAAAUUAUUAGUAAUGCAAUUUCUUUAUAGCUCUUGCUUGAGCAUCUAAAAGUUUUCUUGAGAACCAAAGCAGUGUAAAAGCAGGUCUCUUUUGUCAACCGGGUUGUUGGGGAGGUUUUGACAGCAUCAGAGUCAAAUGGCACGAUUUUCCACACGGCAAAUUAAUAAGAUCAUUAUCCAAAGCGUUCGGCUGUCUCCAUCUCUCAGCCGUGAUCAAAUGGUAUAAAUUUCCGCGAACCUUUUUUCAAAGCCUGGGAGCUUUUCUCCCAAGGAAGACUUUGACUGGGCUUCAACUGAACCUUCUGUUUUUACUUUUGAUUAAGAAGUUAGACUUCCCAAUUAACACGAUUUUCUACACGGCAAAAAAAUAUGUCUCUUCUAGCAUUUAAUAUUUAUUUUCACGUAUAUUUGUGAUGUGAUGAAAGAAAACAUACAUCAAAUCAUAGUUUUAAGAUCCGGCAUGGUAAUUGGCCCGGUUUAAGAUCCGGAUUUUAAGUUUUGAUCAAGUCAUCGAGUCGGUCGGGUCAAUUUUUUUUAAAAAAAUAAAAAGUCAUUUAAAAAAAAAAAAGUCAACAUAUUUGCAGCUGGGUCUUGCCGGGUCACCGUGUCACAUCGAGUUUUUUUUUAUUAUUUUUUUUUCAACCCGGCCUAGUUUCAGCCCCGGGUCGGUCGGGUCCCGGGUUGAUCCGUCGGGCCGGGCCAGAUUUCAAAACUAUGCAUAAAAUGAUAAAAACCAAUUUUCCGAAUAUUCUCAUUAUAUAUAUCCAUCAAGUGUACGAUUAUUAAAUAAAAACCUACUUCAAAUUGACCAAACAUUAAUAUUUGUUAAACCAUUUAAGAACUCAUCGUCGUGGUUACAUUUAACAUUCUCUCACUUGACUUGAGUAAUAUUAUCUUUAUUCAUGGUUUAUUAAAUAUAUUAAUAUAAAACCCAUAGAACAAUGCUAACAUAACAUCAAUCACACCAUAUUAUAAUUAAGUAAGAUAACUAAUAUAAAUCAUGAUAGUUCUACAUCAUCAAUUGAACAUAAUUCCUUCUACAUGCUAUAAUAUUAGUCUUUACUUAACAUAAUUUCUAAAUAAGAAACAUAUAAUUGUUCCAACAAUAAGAUUUUUAAUCAAGACAAUUCAUGUUAUCAAUAAUGAUGUAUGUCAUAACUCAAUUUUUUUCUCUUUUAUUUUUAUUUUUACUAUAUUUUCUAUAAAAAUGAUGAAAAAAAUGAAAAAUAAUAAAAACAAAUGUUGAAAAAAUGAAAAACAAAAUGCAAAAAUGAUGAUGAAAUACAAAUAAAAAUGAAAUGAAUGAAGAAUAAAUUAAAAUCUAGGUUAAUUCAAUAUAAUUGGAAGUUUGAGGACUUAAUUAAAUUUUGGUUUAGUUUAAUUAACCAAAUCAAGGGCUUAAUUAAUUGCAGAAUUAAUAAGUUUUGGGACUUAAUUGAACUUGUAAUUAGUUUAAUUAAUGGAAUCGGGGGCUUAAUUGACAAAUUACCAAAUUUUGGGACUGAUUUAGGUCACAAUUGCAAGGAAUGAAAAUAGAAGGACCAAAGUGAAAAUAUCGGGUAUUGUAGGGAGCUUAAUUGAUUUUUAUAGGGGUAAAUUUGAAAGAAUUACAAGUUGAAGAGUCAAUUAAGGACUGGAUUGGAAACUUCAGAAACCAAGGACAGGUUCGUACACGGCACAAACAUGCAGUGGUCCAAUUAAUGUUUAUCCAGGGGCUUCAUUACAGAAUGUCAAAACCUAAAGCACCAAAUUGCAAACAUCCGUUCCCAUCCCGAAAACGGCGUCGUUUCAAUAUACAAUAUGGGGAGAAUGGGGGUGAACAAAACAUAACCAGAGGAGAAAAACCCAGAAGUGCACAGGGGACGCAAACAGGGGGGCGAACAGGGGAGGAGCUUUUCCCAGAAAAUAGAAGAACACGCAGGAAAACUAGAGAGAACAGAAAAACCCAGGAACACACAGACAGACAGAGAAGAAAAACUGAAACUUUGUCCAGAGCACGCCAUCACCAUCGUUUCGACCUUGUCUCCCCGCAUCAUGCUUAAUGUGGCUUGCACAAAAAAAAUGUGUUUGGCCUAAAAACAUUCUUAUACCUUAUCUUUUUAUUUUUAUUUUUAUUUUGAUAUCUUACCAAAUGAGUUUCUUUGUGAUAUUAAAAAGUUUUAAAAAUAUUUGUGGACCUUUUGAAUUUAUAAGUAGGUGCUUGUAUUGUUUUCUUAGAUAUUUCACUAUAUAAUUAAUUUAUGAAUUUUUUAAAACUUAUACAUGCAUAGAUUUAAAUCUAUUUUAUUAGUUUAUUCAUUUAUGUCAGAGUUAGAAAUAUUAUAUUAUUAUUUUUGCUAGUGUAUAUCAACAUUAAAGUUAAAAAUAUUUGUAGUGGAGUAUGUCAGGAAUAUUAAAAAUACAUCAUAAGGAUUGUUUUUACUUUUUAUUAAAGUUAAAAAUAUUUGUAGUUGAGCAUAAUCUCAUUCAGGACUUCGUGAACAACACAGGCUGUAAUUGGUAACGUCUAACUUCCUAGUCUGGUGGUCGCAUUGUUUUUACUUUUUAUGAACUGAAUGGUUCCUUGCCUUAAAAUUUGUGUUGCGAAACUGAAAAAUUAAUGAUGUAAGAUAUUAUUUGAAAUAGUUUUAUGAUGCAGUUCUGAAAUUAUCUUCUUGCCUAGUUCAAUGGAAUCCAUAGCAAGUGUCAGCGAAACAGAGGAUGAUAAUGAAAGAGUUGAUGCCUCGGAGGAUGAAACGAAUGACCAUGAGAAUAAAUUCUCCGAUACCUGUGAGUUUCUAUCCUUUGCUUCUUUCGAAAGUAACAAGUCUGAUUUUCAGACAUCAUCGUUCUCUCCAGAUGAUUAAGGAUUUCUUGCACUUGACUCAGAAGCGGGCAAUGAUCACUCUUGCAGCAGAUCGUACUCAGGCUUUAAACGAUCAAGCUAAACAUAAUAAGCCAAUGUUAUCGAUUCCAUGAAGAUAUGCUCUCUAUUCAUGAUAGGGUUCAUCAGCAACUUCUAAUUUCUACUGCUUCGUUUUAUACAUGGAAAUCUGUUCAGAAACUUCCUACAAUUGUUAAGAUAAAAUAUUAAUCGGUUAAAUUAGAUGAAUUGAAUUAUUAUUUUUUUUUUUACUUUUUUUUAGGGCAAACAUAAAAAAAAAGGCCUCCAACUAUAUAAUUACCGGUUUCAUCCAUUCUUCAGAUUUUCCAUCCAUAUUUCCAUCCAAUUCUGUUUUUUCUCUAAGAAACAAUGCCAUUUUACACUUUCCAUUGAGUGAUUUAAACAAAAGUCCUUACUUAAAAAAUCAAAAUAGAUUUAAACAAGAGACUGUUUGGAUGCAAAAUUUGAUACUACCUCACAGACGUAUCCGAUUCUAGUUUUACUUUUUCUUUCAUUUUUCUUGUCAGAUUAUUUUAUUUAGGAUUUUCUUAUGCUUAUUCUGUUUUAUGGCAGAAGUUUCACGCUCUUUAUCAGGUCAAACAACAAUGUUCUCUACGUUCCAUUGGAGCAGAGCACAAAUAAGAACAAAUAAUGCAAGAACCAUUUCCGAUUGCAACCCAAAAACACUACCAUCAAAUUACACAAGCUUUAUUAGCAAGGUGCAUUUUUCAAGUACCUCUAACUUCCAAUACAAGAUGCAUUGCUUACAAAUCAUAUACCAGUACUGCGAAAUGCAAUACGUUAACACAGCGUCACUUCUGGCAAAGAAAUUGGAACGAAUGGAAGAAUCUUGAUCGUAUCUGUACUUUUGUGGACAUUUCAAUCCACUUAUCAUCUUGUUAGUGCGGCGGAACCAUCUCUCUGUUGAGUAUAGAAUGAUAGAAGAAUUGUUGAGUUGGUAGAAGAAUGAUAGAAGAAUUGUUGAGUAUAGAAUGAUAGAAGAACUGUAUGAUCAUGCUGGUGAUGGUAUUCGAGCUGCUUAGGGUCUCAAGUUUAAUUAAAACAGGGCAAUGUCCCAAUCAAAAAAGCUGAAAUUAAUGAACUUCUGUUAACCUUUGUUAUUUCAUGUUUUAUAAUGCCAUUAUCGUCGUUUUGCAAAGGAACACAGGUCUGAAAGAAGAUAAAUUCAAGAAAAACAGAAACAAAACUACUUUGGACGAGCAAGGUUACAAACUACUUUGAAAUCUUUCAGAUAAAUUGUGACUAAUCCAAAGUUAAGGGCAGAUGCAGAGAAAGGAAUUAAAACAUGCUCACCAAGACGGUGGUAGUGAAACAUAGUGGGGUCCCAAAACCACAAAGUGUAAAAAGACAUCCUUAGCAUUAGGAUGCUUCCACUCUUCCACUGAUUCCCACCAUUUUUUUUUUGUUUUACAUGGAUUUUUUCAAAAGAAGGAGGAGAUGGCUAGUCAUUGUCAAGCAACUGAAGACAAAUUAGCAUGUUGGAGAGAAUCGCAAAUCAGUUUUGCACUACAGAUGCUUUCAAGUUCAGGCAAAUAUCCAUAACAAGCAAAGCGAUUCAGACCAGAAAUCAUACCACCAGAUGGCAAUGGUGAUGAAGCUCAACAAGACCAAGAAGAUGAAAGCAAGCUCUCCAUGCUAUCACAGUCCUUAAUGGUGAUCAUGACUUCAUGUUCUGUUGCAUACUUCAAUGAUGAAACUUCGCAUAAACCUGAAAAUCUCCACUGCUGAUUCCGAAGUCAUUCAAACCUGAGUGUUUAAAUUUACUUGUGUGAAAAUUUGUAUUCAUAUUCGUUCCACAAUCGAACACAAAUUUUGCCCAGUGCUUGAGAUUUGAGAAACGCUGCGAAGUCAGAGACUUGUUUAAAAUGGUAUUCCAAAGUUUCCGACUUCCUCGGGCAAGCUGCUUCUGUUCCUAUAAUUAUAACUGGAGGACGUAAUAAGAAUCCAGGACUAUCUAUCUUUCCUUUAUUUUCUCUUUUAUAUUUGCAUGUUCUACUUUGAAAAAAUAAUUUAUUACUAGUUGGCGAUUUAAGGUGACUUACUGAAUAGAUCUAUUCUUUUAUAAGGUUACUUUAAUGAUAAAUAAAUAUAAUGUUUUUUUAGAUGUUCAUCGUGGAGAAAUUUGAUGGGAUGGAUAUAUAUAAUGUUAAAUUUUAAUUACAAAAAAAAAAUUGAAAAACAUUAUUUGUGCUCAUUAUAAACUGACAAUAUAAAUAAAGAAAAUUUCAUUUGAACCAAUCUGGAUGUUUGAUGUAGGCGGAAUUUAAAAAAGGUGUACGUGUUUUUUCAUAGGCUAGGAAAAUCAACCUAGACAAUGAAACAAAAUCAGAAUCCUAACACAGAAAAUUAACAAUGAAUUCAAAAAUAAACAAUAAUUCCAAAAAAUAUCUAGAAAAAAUAAUAAAAUUAGUGUAAACAGUAAUCUCCAUUAAUCUCCUUCAUUUUCUCACAUUCUCUGACUGUAAACUUCAUUUGAAGAGAUGACAAGAAAAAAUAUCCAUCUCUAUUGAUAUUCAAAUUACCCAAAACAACCAUUUUACUUUCCACAGACCACUGUACUUGAAUUCCCAAAGUUUAUCUUCCCUGAACUGUCCUACCACAGUCAUCCAAAGGUAAUAUCAACAGGAUUAGCCUACCAGAUUAUGGAGGGCUAAUGUUAUCAACAGGAAGAUGUUGAUAUCAACAUUAAAUGAAGGCUAAUAAUAUCAACGAGAUAAUGGAAGCUAGAAAUACGAAGAAGGCUAUAUUAAUAUAAGGCCAUGUUUGUUUUUUGGAAAGUAGUUUCCGGAAAAUCAUUUUCCAAACUUUUCUGUGUUUGUUUGCAAUUAGAAAAGUUGGUUAACAAAAAACACUUUUCAGUCAACGGAAAAUUUGGCUUGGUUUUCAGGAAAAUGUUUUUCCUUUUAGUUGUGUUUGUUUUCCGGAAAGUAGUUUCCAGGAAAUUAUUUUCCAAACUUUCUUGUGUUUGUUUGCCAUUAGGAAAGUUGGUCAACAGAAAACACUUUCCAGUCAAAGGAAAAUUUGAUUUGGUUUUCAGAAAAGUGUUUUCCUAGAAAAUUUGGGCGGAAAACACUUUCCGAAAGUUGUGAAAAUUUUAGAAAUAUUAUUAUUUGUUGAUUAUAUCAAAUUUGAUCCUCAAACUUUUGAUUUCUAUAUAUAUUUUGUUUUAAAUAUUUAUUUUUCAAUUUCAUCUCUUAAAAUUUAAUUUUUAUAUUAACUUUGGUCCUUGUUUUUAUAAUUGCUAUUUGUCUUUUCCUUAUCAUUUUUUUUUUGAAAUUUUUUUAUCUAUCAAAUUUGGUUCUCAUUCUUUUGAUUGUUACUUAUUUUAUUUGAAAUAAUUUAUGAAAUGUUGAUUAUUAUUAUUUUAAUUUCUUCAUCUUUUAUUAUUUUUAAUUUUUUAGAUUUGAUCUCUAUUAUUUUGAUUAUUAUUUAUUUUAUUUGAGAUAAUUUAUGAAAUUAUAUUUUUUUUUUUCAAUUUCAUUCUCAUUCAACUUUUUAGUUUGUAAGAUUUGUUCCUCAUUAUUUUAAUAAACUUGAGAAAAAUAAAAUAUUAAUAAGUUAUUUUUCAGCUCAUUUUUCAUGACAUAACCAAACACUAGAAAAUAUUUUUCAACUUAUUUUCCAUUACACUACCAAAUAUCAAAAAAUACUUUCUCGAUUCACUUUCCCCGGAAUCCACUUUCCAAAACAAAUUACUUUCCAGCAAACAAACGGACCUAAAUACUUUUACAAUUUGAUUAGCCUUAUCAAGUUAUAAAAUCUAAUAAUAUUGGUUGUAUUAUAUCGAUAUUAUCAAAAUAUUAGAAGUCAUAUUAUAUUUGGUAUUAAUAUAAUUUUAAAAUAAACGAGUACUAAUAUCAGUACGGUUGUAUUAUAUCGGCAUUAUCAAAAUAAAUGAGUAAUAAUAUCAACAAGAUUAUGUUAAUACCAACAUUAAAUAAAGAUUUGGAUUUUAAAGGCUAAUAACAUCAACAAGAUUAUGAUAACAUCAGCAUUACUAAGUGACAUGUUUUCUUCCGAGAUAAUGAAAGUUAGAAAUAUUAACAAGGUUAUGUUAAUAUAAAUAUUUUUAUAAGUUGAUUAGCCUUAUCAAGUUAUUAGUACUGAUGGAAUUAAUUUGAUUGAAAAUAAGGAUUUUUUUAUUACAGGAAUUAAUGCAUGGCUAAUUAAAGAUAAAUUAAAAUGAUUCCAGGAAAUCACUUUCCAAACUUUCAUGUGUUUGUUUGUUAUUUUGGUCAAUGGAAAACACUUUCCGGUCAACAAAAAAUUUGGCUUGGUUUCCAGAAAAGUGUUUUCCUUUUAUUUUGGACGGAAAACAUGUUCUAGAAGUUGUGAAAAAAAUUAGAAAUGUCAUAUUAUUUGCUGAUUAUAUCAAAUUUGGUCCUCAAACUUUUGAUUGUUAUAUAUAUUUUGUUUUGAUUUAUUUUUAUAUUAACUUUGAUCCUUAUUUUUGUAAUUGUUAUUUGAUUUUUCCUUAUCAUUUUUUAAUUAAAGUUUUUUAUCUAUCAAAUUUGGUCCUCAUUCUUUUGAUUGAUACUAUUUUAUUUGAAAUAAUUUAUGAAAUGUUAAUUAUUAUUAUUUUAAUUUCUUCAUCUUUCAAUUUUUUUUUAUUUUUUAGAUUUGAUCUCUAUUAUUUUGAUUAUUAUUUAUUUUAUUUGAGAUAAUUUAUGAAAUUAUAUUUUUUUUUCAAUUUUAUUCUCAUUCAACUUUUUAAUUUUUAAGAUUUGUUCCUCGUUAUUUUAAUAAAUUUGAGAAAAAUAAAAUAUUAAUAAGUUAUUUUCCAACUCAUUUUCCAUGACAUAACUUAAUUAUUAUUAUUUUAAUUUCUUUAUCUUUCAAUUUUUUUUAUUUUUUAGAUUUGAUCUUUAUUAUUUUGAUUAUUAUUUAUUUUAUUUGAGAUAAUUUAUGAAAUUAUAUUUUUUUCAAUUUUAUUCUCAUUCAACUUUUUAAUUUGUAUGAUUUAUUCCUCGUUAUUUUCAUAAAUUUGAGAAAAAUAAAAUAUUAAUAAGUUAUUUUUUAGCUUAUUUUCCAUGACAUAACCAAACACUGGAAAAUGUUUUCCAACUUAUUUUCUAUUACACUAUCAAACAUUGGAAAAUACUUUCUCGGAAUUCACUUUCCAAAAAAAAACUACUUUCCAGCAAACAAACGGGGCCAUAAUGUCACAACCAAAAAGAGGGACUUGGUGGUAAUUGUCUAAUGAAUGCAAUUCUAUAUAUAUAUAAUUAUAUAAAUAUGAAUCCACGGGUAAAGGUAUUAACAUAUGUUGUUAUUGUGUUCUGCAUUGAAUUGUUAGAAUUUAGAUUGGAUUAUAUUUAUUUUGAACUAUGAUAGCUUGAAAUAUUGUAAAUACAUAGAAAACUCUACUAAAAUUUUGAGCCUAAAGUAUACCAAGUCGACACAAUUAACAAAAUUACAAAAAAAGGCCUAAAGCUCACAAGUCACUUAAUGUAUACAAAGACACAAUUUAUUGUAGAUUAUAACAAUAAAAUAAUUAUUUCACCCUUCUAAAAACACCAACAGCCUUCAUAUAAAAAAGGACUUGGUAGUAAUUUUGCAAACAUACACACACAACUUCAGAUAAAAAGGACUUGUAAAGCUGCUUCUUGAACGUCUUCAGGCAUUUUACUACAAAUUGCAACACCACGCCCUCUCACUUGAGACAAAUGCCAUUUGAUCCUCGAAACGGAAUUAGCAGACCAGAUCGACAAAUGUCCAUAUUCGCCAUACCCAAUUCCCAAGGUGGAUAACUCUGCAUAACCAUUUCCAAACGCCUAAACUUAAUUCGAUAUUUUAUUAUAUUUAUAUAAUCAGAGUAUAAAACCAGUAAGCACCUAAACUUAAUUCGAUAUUAUAUUAUAUUAUAUUAUAUUAUAUUAAGGGCAGACUCAUAUCAUACCAGGAACUUUACAAAGGGACGAAGGACAUCCUUAGCCUUAGGAUGCUCCCACUCCACUACUGACUCCCACCAUUCUUCUGGAUAUACCAUGAUGUCUCUAAGAGAUGGGGGAGGAGAUGGCUGGCCAUUUAAUUCAAGCAACGGAAGACAAAUUCCCAUCCUCUUUAGCUUCUCACAUUUUGUUAUAAAAAUGAGUUCGAGAGAAUUGCAAAUCAAUUUUGCACAACAAAUGCUUCUUGUUGGUAAUAAUAGCACAUUACACUCUGGAGAUAAUCACGGCAGCAAUCAAUGAGAAAAUCACUCCAAGCAUCAAGGAUCAAUCCAUGGAAAUCAAGACGUUAUGAGGAGCUGAUUUUCUGUAUAUAUAGAAUCUUAAAUAGCUUUCCUUGUAGAGCUGAUACUGUUGUUAUUAUUAGAUUAUAUUCGAUAUUGUCAUUAUUAUUAGGUUGUAAUAAUCUUCUAUAUAAUGCAACAUUCUGCACCAUAAGCAAUUGCUGUGGUUUCCAUUAUCAUCUCUAAAACUCUUCAUGGUAUCAGAGCCUCUAUAGGAUUAAUCUCCACUUGAUCUUAUGGCCUCAGAAAAUUCUUCCAUACUCUCCUUCUGUAACAACCCCGAUUUUCGCGAUACAUUGGAAAUUUUCAGGUAAAUUUUUUUAUAUAUAUACGGGUUCCACCAAAUUUCUACUAAAAUUUCGGCAGAGUCUCCUCUAUAAUAGGAGGUCCCAAGUUAUCGACAAAACCAUAUUACACUUCCAAUUUUAAUUCACAUCCUGAUCCAAUCAUCCUGGAUCUCAACCCAACUCAACAUCAUCAACACAGCACAUGUUAUUCAAUAACGUCAUAUAAUGUAAUUCAAGUUAAAGAUUCGAUUUCCAACUCUAAACAUGCAUGGUUAAAUAGGUACUUAAAGUUACAAACAUUAAAUUAAAGUCAUGCAUUCAAAUUUACAAAUUAAUAUUACAUUUCAAGUUUUAGGAUAUAAGACUCUUAAUUUACAAAUAAUUACAUGGUCAAAAGCAAAAGGUAACUAAACCAGUAUCAUUCCGGACGCGACCUUGAUAGACCUGAAAAUACAAAUUAACGUGUACACAUAAAUAUAAAAAGGUAGUAACAAACAAUAACAAUGAUAGGUAAUAAUCUUCACUUUUGAGACAUAAGAUUAGGUAUAAACCUCUUUUACAACAUGCAUUUUCAAUCUAUUACCAAUAUCCAUCUAAUAUCCUUUCCCAUUUGUUGAGAAUAAUUUCAUCUUGGAAAUCUCAACACAACUUAAUGAUUUUCAAACACCAUCUCCUUAUAAAUCAAUCCUCUCUUUAUACCAAGACAUUUUUCUCUUGAUAUCAUUAGCUUAUCUCAUUCCUUUGGAAUAACUAAUUACUAUUUUCCCUUUUAUUUUCUAGAAAGUAAUCGCUGACACUAAUAAAUCUCAUUAGUACAUUAGUCUUUUAAUAUUGGGAUAGACUAAUCACUUACAUUCACGUACCGAUAUUAACACAACCGAUUAGUAUCAUUAACUAUUCUUUUCUGGAGUAUCAAAUCUUAUUCAUAUCUGAUUUACCAUCAAAGUUGUCGAUGUCAAGAACCCUUGACACUGUCAGCCUCCUUACCUGGAGUAGCUAAUCACACCAGAAAUGGUUGUCGAUACCAAUGUAACCCAUUGAUAUCAUUAACUAUUCUCGACCCAGAAUAGUUAAUAAACCUAUCUUUUUCACUGAACUAGGAGUAACCAUGUCGAUGUUAGUAAUCUUUACUAACAUCAUUAGUCACCCAAUUGCUCGGGAUCGACUAAUCAAUUUUAGAAAUGCCGGCACCAAUGAAACCUCAUUGAUACCAUUAGCAAUCCAAACCCGAAUUGCUAAUCAAUGUUGUCUGAAAUGCCGAUACCAAUGAAACCUCAUUGAUACCAUUAACUAUCCAAACUCGGAUAGCUAAUCAAUGUCACUUGAAAUUUCCAUUCGUAUCAAUCCCCCUUUUUUUCUUUUCUUCUUCUUUUUGUUUUGUUCUUUUUUUCUUUUAACAUCAUAUGCAUUAUAAUAACUGUUGCUAAGCAUCAUUCCCACACAAACUUAGUUAUCAACACUACGACCAUAGUGACAUAAUUAAUUCGAUACAUAACAACACACGCAAGUCACUCCUAUUCGUUCAAACAUUAUCCUAACCAAUAGAGGUAUACUGUUGCACAUAAGGUACUCUUACUCAUUUCAAUAUCAUCGAAGAAAUAAAACAAUAAAUUCUAAAAUUUACCAAUAAGUUUACUCAACUUAAAAAGACAAGGUGCGAUACACGUGCUUCCUUCACAUAAAUUAUUUAAACACAACGCAUCAUCAGUACACAUAUAUAAAUCGAGCAUCAAUAACUUAAUCAUAAUAUACCAUUAAUUUAUCACCCUAAAGUCGGUACACUUCAUUUUUGUUAUUAUAUAUCUAACUCAGCAGUCAGUACAGUAGUGCCACUAACUCUAUUCAAACCAGCUAGUCCACUAUAUUUUCCUUGACAUAAACAUUCACAAUUACACAAGCACAAGUACAUUUAUAGAAAAUACCAUUUAUUUAACUCUAACAAGUAUUGUAAAAACAAAAGUUUGAGGUGUAAGACACCUACCUCAUGCUUUAACUCGCGCAAAAGUCCCAUGCUACUGAACAGAUUCUACAAUCUCUCCUUUAUCAUUAAAGAUACAUAUCAAAUGUGGCUCCACCAUAAUUGAAAAUUCCAUUCUAAAAUUCAUUUAAAUUUAGAAUCACAUGACACAUGCAUUCGCAUAUUUAUUUAUUUAUUUCCUUUCUUUUCAUGACUUGUUUUUCCAGGCUGAAUAUCUUUAAACAUGACCUAACAAUCUUAAUUUAUUUUAUUUUAUUUUAUUUUUGUCUACACAAUCCAUCAUGUACAGACUUAGUAACAUCACACCCUUGCAUUUAUUCAUACCAUUGAAACUAAUUCAUUUUCCUUAUCAAACCAACUCUUGGCCGAAUGACCUUAUUUUUUAUUUAUUUAUUUUCAUGAUGAGUUUUUCAAUUCUUUUUCAUAAGUCCACUUUACUUCAUCUUAAGUAAAUUUAACAACAUAUUUUCAUCAUAAUUCCAUGUACGCCUUAAUUUAACCUUUUCCUCCCCUUUUAUUAUCCAUUUGGACAACGUUAAAAUUCCAUAAAAUGAAAUUUUCCUCACAUUAAUCUAUUAUUUCAAACAUAACACAAUUCAUUUGGCAUUCAACAAACCACAAUCCCAUAAAAAUCCCCAUAACUUUAGGUCAAAUAAACUCAAGUUCAAGAUUUCCAUUUUUGGUUGGAUUCCAUAUUAUGAUGAGAAUUUGUAUCUUUUUAAAAUUCUUCCAAUGACACUCUACCUAAUUUUCUUUAUACAAAUAUAUGCAUCCAUACCUAAUUUUCAUAGAAAAUGAAUCAAAGUCUUAUCUCCUUAUUUCUUCUUCAUUUGGCCGAAUGCCUUUAUUCAUGAUGAGGGAUGAUUCCCUUUUUAAUUAUUCCAGAUAAACGUUUACCAAUUCAUUUCAUAUCUAUUCUAACCUCAUUCAACUCAAAUUCCAUAGCAAUUAAAACAAUUAAGCUCAUCCUCUCAUUUAUAUGUGUAGGCCAAAUCUUUGCAUUAAAUAGAGGAUAAAGUUUUCUUCAAGUUUUCUUUCAAUUACCACUAGACCCAAUCCUUUUUAAUGCCUAAAAACAUAUCCAUUAAAUCAACAAACUCAAUGUCCCUUCAUCCAAAUUUCAAAACUUCCCUAACACAUUUUACAACACAAUUAAUCUAUAACAACACUAAUAACAAGAACACAUUUUACCAUUACAUCUUACAUAAACUCUACACCCACACAAUUCUAAUUUCAUCAAAACAUGUAAUUAAAUCAAGCUUCCUAAAUGUUUUACUAAGACUAGCAAUAGAUUCAAAUAGCAACAACUCAUCCACCUUUGAUUAUUUCCUUGAACCCAACGGUCAGAAUAUAUAUCAUUGUGUUGUGUACAAUAUAUCUCAAAAUCAGAAUAAUCCAACGGUUGGAUCUCCAUAGAUCUGAAUAAAACCGAACUAACCUGAAAAUGGACGAGCUACUGUUCAACACCAAACAAACCUUGCCAGAGAGUGAGUUUCCGAUCUCCACCUUCCAGAAUGAAUGCCACAUCUAGGCGCACGACAUAUCCAAAAAUAGGCACGAUCCAACGGUGGAAGAGAGAGAAAUCGGCCGACGACCAAAACUGCCCUGCAGGUAUAUUCCCUUUUGUUUUCCAGGACCCUUCCGAUGAUGAUUGCUGCUCAAUGGAUUAUGUUCCUUCAAAGCCCUCCGGUCAGUUAAUAGAGGAGUGUGAGAAGAACAAUAUAUCCAAAAAUCAACAUGAUCCAACGGUGGAUUCCAGAGAUAUGGCCACCGAAGCAUUAUGGGUUCAUCCAAAUCCUGCACCUCUCUCUAACCGAAUUCUCUAUUGUCUCUCACCCUUUUUCGUUUUUCUUUCUCUUUUUUUUUUCUUAUUUAAUCUGGUGGCCUUUUGCUGUUUUUAAAGGCACCAUUGUUUUCCUAAUUACAUUUAUGUCCCUCAUUUAUGUAUUUAUAUAUUAUUUCUUUUCUCUCUCUUUUUUUUUUUUUUUCAUGGAAACCAUCCGGAUUGUUUCUGUUUAAAUCGUUAGUCUUUACCAAACUCCUAUUGGGAUAAUAUCUUUCACCAAUGUAGGAAAACAUAUUAAUAGACUUCAUGCAAAAUUUCAUCCCAAUCUGACGAUUGGCUUGAGAGCUCUGCUUUCUAAUGUAAAAUUGGUCAGUUUAUGACUUUUCAUCAACUAUCCAAAUUUUCUUGUUCAAUCUUCACAUAAAAUAAUAUCAAUUAUCCUUCUAAACCUUUAAGGUCAUUUUAUUAUUUUGGAAUAUAUUCAUUUUGUCAUUUCUCUCAUUAUUUUAUUCAUCAAAACACGUUACCAGUUUCUCUAUCUUUAUGAAUUCUAAAACAAAAUUCAUUUUAUGGAGGUCAUCCCCUCCAUUAUAUAUCACUUUCAGUCUUACGUUUACAUGGCAGGUUAUACAUCCGCAUAUUUAAAUCAUAAAUUUUCUAGGGUUUCACACCUUCAAUACCAUGGUUCAUAUGAUAACAGUGAAGUUAUCAUCAACAAACUUUCUUCUUUGGCGCAGUCAAGUAGUUCCCCUGCUGCAAUGUCAAAAAUACUAUGGCUAUAUUGAUGGCUCAACUCUUAUACCUUCCGCUACCACUGAUUCCACAGCCUACAAUCUUUGGAAACAAAAUGAUCAGCUAGUCAUGAGUCUUCUUCUUUCUUCUCUCAUAGAAGAAGCACUUUCUAUUACUCUUGGAUUUACAACAUCAAGAGACAUUUGGAAUGCUCUUGAGACUGCCUUCAGUCAUAUAUCUAAGGCUCGUGAACUUCAAAUAAAAGAUGAGCUUCAUCUUAUGAAGCGUGGCUCCCGCAGUAUCUCUGAGUACUCUAGAGUAUUCAAGGCUCAUUGUGAUCAAUUAUCAGCAAUGGGAUGUCCAGUUGAAGACACUGACAAAGUGCACUGGUAUUUGCGUGGUCUAGGCCACGAGUUCUCAAGUUUCUCCACCACUCAACUCUCUUUAACUCCCAUUCCAAGGUUCAAAGAUAUUGUUCCUAAAGCAGAAAGCUUUGAUCUUUUCUCCAAAUCUAUUGAUUAUACUGCAGGUGGCCCCUCUGCUUAUAUAGUUCAUUCCUCUGCAUCCUCCAACCGAUAUGCAAGGUCAUAUAAUAAUCAGAACAGGUAUAAAGGAAGUCACUCAAAAGGAGGAAAUCGUGGGAAGCAGCAGUAUAGGAGGCCUCCUCGAUGUCAAAUAUGUCGUGAAGAGGGUCAUUAUGCCACAAACUGCAAAAUCAGAUACACAAAAUCUGAUGCAAAUAUUGCUGAAGCACUUGCAACCUGCACUAUUAGCAAUGACACAGCAGAUUGGUAUGCUAAUACAGGAGCAUCUGCACAUAUGACUCCUGAUGUGUCUCAGCUUGAUAAAAUGGAACCUUACACUGGUAAGGAUAGAGUUAUUGUUGGUAAUGGAUCUUCUCUACCCGUUACACACAUGGGUUCCUGUUCUCCUACUCCAACUCUUCAAUUAAAAGAUGUCCUUGUUGUGCCAAACUUAACCAAAAAUUUGCUUUCUGUCAGUAAAUUAACCAAUGAUUUUCCUUUUGCUAUUCUUUUUACUGACAAUAAAUUCAUAAUACAGAAUCUUCAAACUCAAAAGGUGGUGGCAAGCGGUGAUCGUGUAGAUGAACUUUAUGUACUGAAGCGUGGACACCAUGUUUUCUCUGCUGUCAUCAACAAACACAAUUUAUGCAAUUCCUUUGACAUUUGGCAUGCCCGUUUAGGCCAUGUAUCCUCUUAAAUAAUUUCAAUGCUUAAUAAGAAAGGUUUUUUAUCUCUUACCUCCAUACUGCCAAAUCCAUCCUUGUGUGUCAGUUGCCAAAAAGCUAAAAGCCAUAAACUAUCUUUUCCCUUAAGUGAUAGUCGUUCUCCAACAAUUUUAGGAUUAAUACAUUGUGACUUAUGGGGACCAGCACCAAUACAAUCAAUCUCUGGCUAUCGAUAUUACGUUAUUUUUAUCGAUGACAAGUCUCGCUUCACUUGGUUCUAUCCAUUAAAGAACAAAACUGAUUUUUAUCACACAUUCAUCAAGUUUCAAACACUUGUUGAAAAUCAAUUCUCAGCAAAGAUAAAAACAUUCCAAAGUGAUGGGGGAGGAGAAUUCACAAGUAACAUUUUUCAAUCUCACUUAGACAAAUAUGGUAUUCACCAUCAACGUUCUUGUCCCUAUACACCCUCUCAAAAUGGUAGAGCCGAGAGAAAGCAUCGACAUAUCACUGAGACAGGCCUUACAAUGCUCUUUCAUGCACAUGUUCCUCUUAAUUUUUAGGUGGAAGCCUUCAGUACAACAGUUUUUACAAUCAAUCGCUUGCCCACACCUGUCUUGAAUGGAGUUUCUCCAUUUGAAAUUCUGUAUGGUAAGUCCCCUACCUAUGAAUUAUUUCGUAUUUUUGGCUGCUUAUGCUUUCCAUACUUAAGAGAUUAUACUAAACAUAAAUUUGAGCCCAGAAGCCUUCCAUGUAUUUUUCUUGGUUACAAUUCAUCUUAUAAAGGAUUUCGAUGCUUAGAUCCCCAAUCACAUCGAGUCUUUAUCACUCGACAUGCUCGGUUUGAUGAAACAGUCUUUCCAUCAUCUUCAUCUCAUAUGCAGCUUUCCCCUGCACUGUCAGAUUAUAUCUCUUUUCAUGAUCCCAGUUCCUCAACUUCUCCUUUGUCUAACACUUAUUCUUCUGCAGGUUCUCGGUCCUUACCAUCAAUUACUUCUUCUAUACCAUGUAAAUCAUGUGCUUUGGAGCUGCCUCAGAGUCCACCAAUUUUGCUACCACCUGCGUCUCCUACAAUAGUUGAGAGAGUUUCAGAAUUACCUGUUGUGACUACUUCCAGAAUUGAGCCUACUUCAGAUAUACCUAUUGCACCGGCUCAACAUUCUUCUUCAAAUCUGAACUCUCAUCCCAUGAUAACUCAUGGAAAAGCUGGUAUCUCCAAAUCCAAACAUUAUAAUUAUGUUUGUCAAAUUCCUACCUCUCUUUUAUUAUCAUCACUAUUAGUUAUGAAGGAACCAAAAGGAUUCAAAAGUGCUGCUAAAUCACCCGAAUGGCUAGCUGCAAUGGAUGAUGAAAUUCGUGCUCUCACUCAUAACCAAACAUGGGAACUGGUUCCUAGACCACCUGCUACCAAUGUGGUUGGAUCCAAAUGGAUUUUUCGGAUUAAAUAUCAUUCUGAUGGCUCCAUUGACAGGUUCAAAGCACGCCUAGUUGCUCAAGGCUAUACUCAACUCUAUGGACUUGAUUUUCACGACACAUUCAGUCCAGUUGUUCGAGCUUCUACAGUCCGCAUUGUCCUCUCUAUUGCAGUAACUCGUGGCUGGAACAUACGUCAACUUGACGUUAAGAAUGCGUUCCUUCAUGGUCUUCUUCAGGAAGAGGUUUUUAUGGAACAACCACCCGGUUAUAUUGACACUUCUCAUCCACACCAUGUUUGUCGCCUAAAAAAAGCCAUCUAUGGUUUGAAACAGGCACCGAGAGCCUGGUUUCAUCGCUUUAGCAAUUUCUUACUCACAAUUGGUUUCAUUUGCAGCAAAGCCGAUUACAGCUUAUUUGUUCAUUCAUCAGAUAAUGGUAUUAUUUAUUUGCUGUUAUACGUAGAUGAUAUUGUUCUAACUGGAAGCAAUGUAUCUCUCAUUGAUACUUUCAUUCACAAGCUCCAGCAAGAGUUUUCUAUGAAGGACCUUGGAGAUCUACAUUAUUUUUUGGGUUUAGAAGUUACUCAAUCUCCACAGGGCAUGUUCCUAAGUCAGGUCAAGUAUGCAAGAGAUAUUCUUAUCAGGGCUGAACUUCAGGAUUCGAAGCCAAUAUCAACACCGAUGAUUGUUUCUCAUCACUUAACUUCUGAUGGUCCUCUAUUUCAUUCACCAACAAUCUAUCGAUCUCUUGUUGGUUCGCUGCAAUAUCUCACCAUCACCAGACCGGAUAUUACACAUGCAGUGAAUUCAGUAAGCCAAUUCAUGCAUGCACCACGAGAAUCACAUUUUCAGGCCGUCAAACGAAUUCUCAAAUAUGUUAAAGGCACUCUUCAUUUCGGUCUCAGCAUCAGUUCAUCCAGUCAUCUUCAUAUCUCAGCUUUUUCAAAUGCUGAUUGGGCUGGUUGUCCAGAAACCAGUCGCUCAACAUCAGGAUAUGCAAUUUUUAUGGGGGACAAUUUGAUUUCAUGGACCUCUAAAAAGCAGACCACGGUUUCUAGAUCUUCAGCAGAAUCCGAAUAUCGAGCAUUGGCACUCACUGCAGCUGAGGUUAAAUGGUUGCUAAACAUUCUUCAUGAUUUACGUAUUCAACUACCAGCAUAGCCAACUUUACUUUGUGACAACACCAGUGCUAUCUUCAUGACUAGAAAUCCAGUAGCUCAACGAAGAUCUAGACACAUUGAUAUUGAUGUUCACUUUGUUAGAGAAUUAGUCUGCAAUGGUAUCCUGACAAUUAAACAUGUGCCAUCCACUUUGCAAAUAGCAGACAUUUUCACCAAAAGUCCAUCCAAAUCUCUGUUUCUUCUGUUUCAAUCCAAGCUUCGCGUGUUCCCAACUACGCUUAACUUGAGGGGGGAUGUUGGUAAUAAUAGCACAUUACACUUUGGAGAUAAUCACGGCAGCAAUCAAUGAGAAAAUCACUCCAAGCAUCAAGGAUCAAUCCAUGGAUAGAUUUUGCAAUUUGUUCCACUUCUGUAGAGAGAGGUGUGUCAUGUCCAAGGAUCUCCCUGAACAAAGUCCAAGCUUCUCCAUCAGAAAGAGGAUUCACUAUGAUAUUGUUUCGGCAAUCCAUUCGUCCACAAACCUCUUUUGAUCGAGUUGUCAUAAUCAACUUGCAUCCUUUCAAUGGGACAGGAAUUCCCACUUCGUGUAGCUCAAAUGAGUCCCACAAAUCAUCUAAAAUUAGAAUCCAUUUUUGUUUCUUUAUUAGUUCUCGUGACAAUUCCUCAGCUAUGUGCAGCUCCUCCUCUUCAUUGGAAAGAGAUAAAUUUAUACAUUUUGCAAUCUUCUUCUGCAAUGUAUGAAUGCUGAAAUCUUGAGACACGGUCACCCAGCAAACAUGAUGAGAAAUAUCUGCAAUUCGUAGAAGCUCAUUAUGGAUAUGUUUCAGCAUUGUGGUUUUACCAGCUCCUCCCAUCCCGUAAAUGCCAAUGGUUGAGACUUCAUCGUCCCUUAACCAGGACCAUAUCACUUUCCUAUUCUCUUCAAAUGAUCGACCCACUAAAUGAAUUCAAAUUAAGGAAAAAUAAGAAAAAGAAUUGUUUAGGCUUAACCAAGAUAAAAACCUGAUUGACUAGCGACUUAAUAAUAAAAAAAAACAAUAUUCUAUGACAUUAAGUUUUGAACAAAUUAUUUAUACUUACAUUUUAUAAAUAUUAUAUUAGAAAGUUAACUGUCAUUAUUUAUUAUGAAGGUGCACUUGUAUUGCAUUGCUAGUUAUUGUUAUUACUAUAAAUAUAUAAAAAAAAAAUUUCUAAUUUCUAGAAGAAUUAUUAUCAUCACGUAUGAAUUGAACAAUCUUGUCUCAAUUUAAAUAGCUAAUAAUUUAGUUAUUUAAACACUACUAUAUAUUUUUUUAAUUUAAAAAAAAAUAGAAGAAAGUGAAAUUGGAAAUUUUGAUGAGAUUUUCGGGAAAAAAAUAUUAAAUUGAAGAUGGUCAACAUUGGUCAUUGGCCAAGCAUUAUUUAAUAAUUUCUUAUAUGAUAAGGACUAAUUAAUUAUGACAUCUACUUUAUAGAUUAAUAAAUUAAUCGUUACAAACUAUAAGGACUAAACAAUAAUUAUAAAAACUCAAACUUUGGGUGCUUUAUUUAUAUUGUCUCAAAUUCGUUACUGGGAUCAAUACGUGUCCUAAUAGAGUUUUCUUCACUGACCCGACCGAGUCACAAAUCAACACUCUGAGUCGCAAUACAUCCCGAUCUCCUCUCAGGCACCACUCUCUCAACCCAUUUACCACCAAAGCUUUACGCUUUAGGGUUCUACUUUGAGUUUCUGGACUGAGCAAGGUUUGAUCCAAUCCUGGACAGCGAUGGUGUUGAGGUUUAAUGAAGGAGGGAAAGUAUUGGAGAGAGUGGAUUCGAUAAGGAAGAUGAAAUGGCCAUGGUGAUUGGAUAUUUUGCCAUUUGCAAUUUUUUAUGCCAUUUGGAUGGUCGCGAUUCUGCCGAGCAUUGACAUUGUUGAUGCUUUAAUUGUUCUUGGUGGACUCGUUUCGAUUCAUGUUCUGGCUUCGCUUUUCACUGUUUGGUCUGUUGAUUUCAAGUGCUUUACUCAGUAUAGGAAGGUAAUGUAGCUGUUUUUCUGUGUUUGUUUUAGGAUUUUGGGGCUUUAGUUGUUUUUGUUUUGUGAUUCGGGGGUUUUGUGUUUAGGCUAAUGAUAUUUAUGCUGCGGAUUCGUGUAAGUUACACCGGUGAAGUUUUCUGGUUCUAAGGAAGUUGUGCCAUUGCAUAUUCGUCAACAAGUGUGUGUGUGUGUGUGUGUUUUUUUUUUUUUUAGUGGAAAUGCUUUUUUCCUUCUCUUUGUUAGUGGAUUGGAUUGAUAAUUGGAUGUUCUUAGUUGAUGUAGGAUAAAAACUGAUGCAUUUCAUGAAUUGUUUUUUCAGGAGAGUGACAAAUGAUGUUGAAUAUAGAAUGAUAGAAGAAUUGUAUGAUCAUGCUGGUGAUGGUAUUUGAGCUGCUAGGGAAAUGGAGCUUGUUCUAAGUGGAUUGGACCAGAGAUGGAUGGUUUUAGAGGUGGGGAGGAUGAAGAUUGGAUGUAGGCUAAAAAUGGAUGCAUUUUGUGUUAUUUGUAUUUGGAGAAGUGAAAAAUGUUGUUGGAGAUAGAAUUGAAUGCAUAUUCUGGUAACAAAUGCUCAAAUGGGCGAAAAUCAUUUUCUGAAAUUUCAAGGUGAGGAUUUUUAUUGAUUGGAUCUUUUGAUUUUUCUAAACUUUACGGGGGUGGAGGGUUUGUCUCCAUAGAUUGGUCGACUUAGUGUCUCAAGUUUGAAUUAAAACAGGGCAAUGUCCAAAUUCAAAAAAGCUAAAUUAAUGAACUUCUGUUAACCUUUGUUAUGCCAGGUUUAAUUACUGCCAUUAUCGUCAUUUUGCAAAUAAACUUGUUUCUAAGUUGCGAUGUGACUUUGCAAAUGAACACAGGAGAUUGAGUCAAGAAAAACAGAAACAAAACUACUUCGGACUAGCAAGGUUACAAACUACUUUGAAUCAUACAGAUCAAUUGUGAGUGGUUGUGGUUGCAGAUACAGAGAAAGGAAUUAAAAACAUAGUGGGGUCCCAAAACCACAAAGUGUAAAAGGACAUCCUUUGCAUUAGGAUUCUUUUACUCUUCAACCGACUCCCACCAUUCUUUUGGUUUUACAUGGAUUUUUUCAAGAGUAGAGGAGAUGGCUAGUCAUUGUCAAGCAGCUGAAGAAAAAUUAGAUGGCAAUGGUGAUGAAGCUCAACAAGACCAAGAAGAUGAAAGCAAGCUCUCCAUGCUAUCACAUUCCUAAUGUUUGUUGAUCAUGACAUCCAGUUCUGUUGCAUACUUCAAUGAUGAAACAUCGCAAAAACCUGAAAAUCUCCACUGCUGAUUCUGAAGUGAUUCAAACCCGAGUGCUUUACUUGUGUGAAAAUUUUGUGUUCAUUAUCUUAUAUUCAUAUUCGUUCCCAAUCGGGCAAAAUUUUGUAUAUGCCCAGUGCUUGAGAUUUGAGAAACGCUGCGAAGUCAGAGACUUGUUCAAAAUGGCAUUCCAAAGUUUCCGACUUCCUCGAGCAGCUGCUUCUGUUCAUUUGAUUAUAACUGGAGGAUGUAAUAAGAAUCCAGGACUAUCUAUCUUUCCUUUAUUUUUUCUCUUUUAUAUUUGUAUAUUCUACUUUGAAAAAUAAUUUAUUACUAGUCGGUGAUUUAAGGUGACUUGUACCACUGAAUAGAUCUAUUCUUUUAUUAGGUUACUUUAAUGGUAAUUAAUAUAAUGUUUUUUUAGAUGUUCAUGGUGGGAGAAAUUGAUAGGAUGGAUAUAUUAAUGUUUAAAUUUUAAUUACAAAAAAUAAUAAUUGAAGAGAUUAUUUGUGCUGAUUAUAUAUAAACUGGCAAUAUAAAUAAAGAACAUUUCAUUUGAACCAAUCUGGAUGUUUGAUGCAAAAACGAAUGAGAACCAAACAAAACAUUUUGCCACAAAAUCUUUAUCAGAAGAAAAAUGAUAUUAUUAGUAGUGAUUAUAUAUGCAUGAUAUUAGUUAAAAAAAUAAAAAUAUUUAACGAUUAGUAGUGAGUUAUGUAUACAUAAUAUUAGUUAAAAAAACAAAAAUAUAUAAACUUUAAAUAUUUUUAUUUUUUAACUAAUAUUAUAUAUAAUUAUUUAAAAAACAUUUUAAAAAAACAAUCUUUAUCUCACAAACAGGCUGCAUGUUGAUAGUGUCAAUCAAAUAAUUUAAGUUAUUGUAGUCCUUGCAUUUUAUUUCUAUUUAUAAAUUGGUUUUUAUUUGAAAGCUUUUUGGUCCUUGUACUUUAUAAAAUCAGAACUUAAGCCUUUAUAAUUUUGUCUUUUUUACAAUCAUGUCCUUGUAACAUUACUCUUCGUCAUAUAAUAGUUCAUUACAUGAUUUUCUAUAUAAUGCUUGAGAUGUAAUAAGUCAUUAUAUAAUCGUAAUGAUCUAUUACAUUAUAAUUUUAAAAAUCACAUCAUCAAACAUAAGAAUAUAAGAAGUCAUAAUUGUAUUAUAUAGUCCAUUAUGUGUAAUUAUCAAACGUGUAAUUAGUUUACCUAUUACAAACAAAACUCAAAGUAUAGGCAAUUUGGACAUUUACAAAACAAGAUCAACAGUCAAAUAACAUCUAAAAAACAAGGAUUAACUUAUAAAAUCUCAAGAAACCAGGGACUGAAUAACAUCUUGCAUCCAGAGUCGAGAGAGUAACCAAUGACAUCAUAUGGAUCCAUUCUAAAAAAAAAAAUAGAUACAAAGAGAACAGAAAUAAAAUACUAAUAAUCACUCCCUAAAAUUUGCCACCCUAUUCUAGGAAAAUGAUAUAACAUCCAAUAUUUAGACAAAUAGAAAGUGCCCAAAACCCAGGAUGCAUUUGUCAUCCACAGAAUGAAUAAAUUGAAAUGCACUAAUUCACAAUACUCUUUCGUGGGACGUUUUAAACAAAUAUGAUUGAUUGGAUUCAGAUGAGAUAAAUAUGAAAAUACCUAGAAUUAACAAAAUAAGGAAACUGAAAAUCAGGUCUUCAUUGUGAGGGAGGGAGAGGCAAAAUGCUUUCUUUCCAAUCUUUAUUAAAUAGAAAGAUCACCGAUUAGUAAUUUAAAGCCAUAAACUUUGAAGCCAAUAAAUGAUGAGAGAGUCAUUCAAUUCCACACCAAUAAAUUGAGAAUUUUCCUGUCUUGUAUACACACAACAAUUGAUUCUAAUUCAUUAAACCUAAAUUAAAAGCAAAUUGAAAGAUUCAGAAAGAACGAUGCUUACCGAACUUGUCCAAGCAUAUUACGAGAGGAAGAAGGACAUCCUUGGUGUUAGGAUGCUCCCACUCCACUACUGACUCCCACCAUUCUUCUGGAUAUACUAUAAUGUUUUUAAGAGAAGGUGGAGGAGAUGGCUGCCCAUUUUCAAGUAAUGGAAGAAAAAUUGGCAUCCUCUUCAGCUUCUCACAUUUUGUUAUAUUAAUUACUUCGAGAGAAUUGCAAAUCAGUUUUGCACUACAAAUGCAUUUUAGUUCUGGUAAAUUUUCCAAGUGCAGUUGUCUCAACUUUGGGAGUUUGAAUUUGGUGUUUCUGAUGCUGCUUUCUUCACCUAUAUCCCCUUUUUCAUCCGAUCUUGCUACACCUAUUAUCUCCUCCAUUUUCUCACAUCCUUUAACAACAAUCUCUUCUAGGUUUACAAGGUGAAUCCAAGAAGAUGGAACCAAGAUUUCUGUGAUACUGCAAUUCCUUACUUCAAUUACUUGGAGAGAAUCGCAAAUCAGUUUUGCACUACAAAUGCUUUUUAGUUCUGGUAAAUUUUCCAAGUGCAGUUGUCUCAACUUUGGGAGUUUGAAUUCGGUGUUUCUGAUGCUGCUUUCUUCACCCAUAUCCCCUUCUUCAUCCGAUCUUGCUCCACCUAUUAUCUCCUCCAUUUUCUCACAUCCUUUAACAACAAUCUCUUCUAGGUUUACAAGGCUUGGCAGCAAGACAUGAGGGAACAACUUCUUCAUACCCUUACAACCAGAAAAAUAAAACCUUUUAAGACCAGAAAAUAUACCAUUAUAAGAUGGAGAUGGCUGUGGUAGUGGGGCAGAGCAUAACCAAGAAGAUGAA
This 72747-nucleotide long non-coding RNA is filed under the name Populus tremula. RNAcentral describes it as "long non-coding RNA (PTRE_LNC003348)". The stretch from base 42963 to 43118 matches the Rfam family "MIR2912 microRNA precursor family". The record is from RNAcentral. Lineage: Eukaryota; Viridiplantae; Streptophyta; Magnoliopsida; Malpighiales; Salicaceae.